GUAUUAUGUCAUGUGAGACACGUGUGUCUACUUGUUCAAUUUUAUAUAAGUUUAAGUGCCUACUUGUGCACACUUAAAGUUGGAGGAUAUAGUUAUUCGAUAAAGUCAAGUUAAGAGUCAUGUUUAUGUAUUAUGCUUAUUAAAUAUAAUAACAAUAACAUCUUCAAGACAUGAUGUAUGUAUUAUCACGUCAUCCCUUGAAUACCUAAAUAUCAAUAUUGGAAUUGUUUUUGUCCACAACCGUCAACGUCAUAUACAAAGUUAGGUGUCACGAAAUGAUAAGAAUUAAAUGUGUCCAAAAAAUCAAUUUUACGUGCUCUUUUGACAUGAUGAAAAUUAUUUUCUCAUCUCCGAUUAGUAUUUUUUCUACUUUGAUGAAACUAAUAUCUACUUACUUUAAUAAGUCAACUACAUUUGUCUAUUCUAUGAAACUUGCUCCUACCGGCACCAUUAAUUAGGAGUCCAAUUCCCUUUUAAUUAAUUACGACCACAUACUCAAAUCGAACACGCCAUUCAUAAUACACUACAACAAAAACCUAGAUUUUCCUUUUAGCGAUAAUAUUUAUUGUCAUAAAAAUAUUUAGUGGUAAUUGAAUUAAUGUUAUUACAUUCUAAGUUGCUAAAGUUUUUAACAAUAAUUAUAUAGAAUACUGGUUAUAAAUAUCCAUAUUAUAUUAUUACGCUAAAACAAUUAUUGCUAAAUCAUUUAUUUGUGUAAGUAAUAAAUAACUGAUUUUAGUCAAGAACAACUUUUAUCUAUGCUUAUUAAUUAGAGAUAAGUAAGAAUUUUCGUAGAAUAAAAGAGGGUACAAUUUAUAUAUACCUAAAUAAGUAAAUUUAGAAUCCAACACUCAUAAAUUCAAAAUCCAAGUUAAUUACGCCUCAGAUAGAAGGUAACAAGUAUAUUGUACUUAUGAUCAAUAGCUAACCCGAACACCAUCAUUAUAGAGAGUAUUACUCGAAGUUUGAACAUGUAAAAUUGCGGAAUGUAAUAUUUUACCUGUAUGGCCUGAUGAAGCUGCAACAUGUAGUGAAGUAGUGGACAUAUCAACUUCAAGCAUCAACAACAUGUGCAUAUUAUUAUUAAGUAAGAAAUGUUUAACCACUUCAAUCCUCCCUCUCUCACAUGCUACAUAAAGCACACUCUUAUCCCACAAAUUUGUCUUAUAAGCAAUCGAUGGAUCAUUCUCAACCAGAAUUCUCACAAUUUCUACUCUCCCUUCUCUACAUGCUUCAUGUAAGGGCGUCUCCUGAUCCCGAUUCUCCGCGGACACCAUCUCAGGGAACAACUUCACAAUCUCCCUCACCAAUUCAACAUGGCCAAGUCUAGCUGCAAGGUGCAAUAUGGUGUGUUGUAAUGAACCCUCAAUGGUUUGUCUUACUAUGUUGGAAUCUUCUUCAAUGAGUUUUUGAAUGGCUUCAACAUCUCCCCUGAAAACUGCUUCAUUCACCCGCCGCUCCAUUUUUUUUUAAUCAGUUAAAAGUGUGUGAUGGAAAAUUAAAUGUAGCUUUCAGAUUGCACAAUAUGUAUGUAUAUUUUUUGUUUAUCAUAGGGGACUCACUAUUUAUGCAAACUUUUAAGUCAUUUUUUUCCACAACUGCAGCAACCAAGAAGAUUCCUAGCUAAGGGACUUGUAUAGCGUGGUCUUUUUCCUUUCAUUUUCUUAUUAUAUAUAUAUAUAUAUACCAUAGAAAAAUUGUGGUGUACCGGAUGAAACUGCUCCUUCCUUAACUAGAUAUUUCAAGUUCAAGUUCAGAAUAUGAAAAAAUUCUUGGUAGACUUGAUCACCCGAAAUUAAAGGGACUCUAUAGUGAGGCUAUGUGGGUACCAAAACCAGAUAGAAAAACAAAAAACAAACAAACAUAUAUAAUAUAUAUAUAUAUAUAUAUAUAUAUAUGUGUGUGUGUGUGUGAGAGAGAGAGAGAGUCAUUUGUAUAACGAUAAGGGUAUAUAUGAGCUACUUCCAUAACGAGGAUUAUAUCAGCUUUAAAUGACAAAGUUAAGAGAUAUAUCAGGUCAUUUUCCCUAUAUAUAAAAUAUAUUGGCGGGCGGCUCAGCUUCUAGCAAAAUGGUGAAAGUCAAUAUUACUUGGAAUAGUUUUGUAUGGGUAGGUCGGCAGUGUAUAGAGUUACUAGGCCAAGUCAUUGGUUCGGGAUUGACUCGAUCGACUUAUUUAUAUUUUACCUCAUACUCAACUCGAUUAGAUUCAGAAAAAAAAAAAAGGCGAUUCAGGUUAACUUUAAUAAUUUGUUGAAAAAAUAUUAUUGAAUCGAAUCCACCUAUAAGGAAUGCUAGAUAACCCAUAAGUCUCUAUUAAUUAUUCUGUCACCCCAAAAGUUAGCUUAUAUAAACACCAUUUUGGAUAUAUAGUUUAAGUUUUAAUCUUAUUGUUACUACUUUAUUUAGGAUUAUGAAUGAAAUCUAAUAAAUUUAUGUUUUCUGUUUAUUUUUCGUAUAUUGUCCCUUAACGUAUCAAUUUAUAAUAAAUAUGUAACUUGUUAAAUAGUGAUAUAGAUCAUGGAUAAUGUUAAAGGAAUACUCAGGUCAUGAGUCAACGAUCAAAUAAAGUAGUAACAAUAAUCAUAACAACGCACAGUAAUUAAAUUAAAACAUCUGCUUGUAAGAAGAGUUGACAAUCACGCAUUUGUGAAGGCUAUAUCAUUAUUCCUUUAUUGAGUACAACACUUAUUAACAUAGUUAAGUAUUGCUUGAAAGUACCUUUUAGUCAAAAUUAAGUACAUAAUUUAGGAAUUUUGUAGGUACAACACUUAUUAUCUGUUUUUGUUUUGUUUAUAAGUACGGAAUAAUCUUUUUUAAGCGAUCAAUAUUUUUUGUUCGGGAGAGGUGAUUCAACUUCAGUUUAUCGCGGAUAUUAUCUUAUAUAUAGGAGGUAAUAAAUGACACCUAUUAAGGUAGGAGGUUAGUAAAUAAUUAUGUUGUCUAGCUUCUCUUUUCAUACUACUUUGUCAUGCUUUCUUCAUUUUCCAUUUUCUUUUAUGACUUCUUCGCUUCUUAUUUCUUUUUCCAAAUUAUUUUAAAAUGUUUUUACUUGAGCCGAUUGAGUCUAUCAAAAUAAUUUUUCUACCUUUUUAAAUAGAGAUAAAAUCAACUUAUACUUUAUAUAUUCUUCCAAAUUACUUAUAAGAUUACUCUAAAUAUAUUAAAAUUGUCGUGGUUGUAAACAAAGUGAAGUAGGAAAUAAAUGUGAAUCCGUUAGUAUCUAUAAUGCAUAAUGUAUUACUUAGAAAAUACCUCAUAAUUUCAACUAGGGAGACAUCAUUAUCAAUCUAGACGACAAUAUAACUGACCUCACCUCUUGCAUCAACAUUAUUUGUUCAUUAGUAAUCUUUACUUUUGCUGACUCCAAGGUCGUCCAUUACUUUUGUAUUGUUCCACCCAAAUCUUUGAGACGCCAAACAAUGACACAUAAUUUUGUAAUCAUUUAAAAUUUAUUGAAUAUAAAUUUAUAAAAUGAUUCGAAUUAUAUUAAAUUCAUGAAUAUAUUAGUCCAAAUAAAUAUUAUGGAUUAAUAUAAUUGAGUUGAUUAUUUAAGUCUAUUAAAUAUAGAUUUAAUUAAAGUCCAAAUUAAUUGAUUUGGGCUACAAUAAGCCAGUUUGCUAAGCCCAACUUCAUCUCAUCCUAGAGUCCCAUUUUCUCAGUGCCACGUGGCAAAUGACGUGGCAUGCCAAGUCAAACAAGAAGCCAAUAGGAUCAUGACAUGUGUCGAGGAUGACAAUCCCGCUCCAUAAAGCCCAUAUGUCAUGUCACUUAAAUCUGAUUGGCUGAAGGAAAUCCUAUUCCUAUCACAACUCCUCUAUUCUAAAACUAUAAAUAGGGGUCCUCAUAAUUCAGAAUAGAGGACCACGAAUUCGAACAAGAAGCUAGAGAAAGUCCGUGGAUCAAAAGCCACAAUUUCUCUACAAGCUGCAAGUUCAAGAAUUCAAGUGUUCAAGUUCAAGAUUUGAAGAAUUCAAGAUCAAGUUCAAGAUCAAAUUCAAGAACGAUCAAGAUCAAGACCACCGGAUUCAAGAUCAAGCUCGAAGCCCUUGAAUUCAACUAGAAAGUCAAUAUCAAGAUAAAGUUCAAGUCAAGAUCAAGUUCGAGAUCAAGAUCAGGAUCAAGAUGAAGUUAAAAUCCAAGUUCAUCAAAGAUUCAAGUUCAAGAGCCCUUGAAUUUAUAUUCGAAAAGGCGAAUUCAGAGGAAUCAUUGAGAUUGUAACACUUGCACUUUGAAAUAAUAAAACGAUUAUUGCAUAAAAAAAUGCUAAGAUAUAGUCGAUAGAGUAAAGGUCUUAACCAUACCUUAUUGAGAGACUAUUAUAGUUCUUGAAGUACUGCUUGCAUUGUCACACGAUUCAACCACGGGUGGGAUAGCAUCGUCUAAUACCCUUAAUCUCCUAAAAAAAACUUCUUUGGUUGAGGACUACGUCCUUUCCACACAUCUGUUGCACUGUUGAUUAACCACUACUGUUCUUACAACUUUAUAGCUGCACACCAUUGACUUGUUCUCUGCUUGAUUCCACUGCAGACCAGGUCCCUUUGCAACAUAGUUUAUUAAUUCAUCAAAACCAAGAAUACAACACCAAGCAACAUAUAGCUCUUUAGUGCAGAAACAUGUUGUGUUACACUCCUCAAAGUUAACACACUUCAAAUGAACCAUUUAUCUCUGGGAGAAACUUAUCGCUAAUAAUUUUGCACUAUGCUUAGCUUGUGGCCUGUUUGGUUUGCUGCUUUCCAUUUGUAGAUUCGUGUUUGUUGUCCUCAGGGGCGGACCCAUCUUAUACCAAGGGGUGUCAACCGACACUGCUUCGUUGAAAUUUUUUAAUAUAUAUACAUAUACAAAAAAUUGAAAAAAAAAAAAAACUACAAAUAUUAUUAAUGACACUCCUUGAACAAGUCAGCUCUUUGGCUCGUUGGUUUGCACAAAAUGGUUAUUCCUUUCAGCGCCUGUGAGUGUAUAUUCAUUUGCUAAUAAAGGACAUUACUUAGUUUUUCCUUUAUGAUUUAACAGUAGAAAUUGCCCUAGUAGUCAUGGUUUAUCUUUAUAAUUGGCUCUUAUAAGGACUUAUUUUGAGUUGAGUUUAUAUGACUCAAUGGUGAGAUGCAAUUGGGCAUGGAGAGUGUUUAACAAUAUUUAAAUAUAGUAAAGUAAAAGUGUAUUUGUUUUAUACCUAAAGAGAAAAAAAGACUAGUCUUAUAAGUGAUUUUGUUCUAUACGAGUAGAAGCACGAUAAUUUUAAUAUCCAAAACGAUUAUAGAUAAUCAUGAGGAUUUUCGUUUCCAUAAAUAAAAUAGUAACAUAAAAUAAUAAAAUUAAAUUCCUUAAACGGUUUGUUCAUUAUUCUUAAUCAGAAAAUAAAAAUCAGAACUUGGCAUAGAUAGAAAAAGUAAACAGUAAUUUUCAAACAAAAAAUAAAAUAAAAAUUAUCCCGAAGUCACAAAAUUCAUUUUCAUAUGUCCUUAAGUAAUUUAAUUCUCCCACCGUAUUUGAAGUAUACAAUUAUUUCCUCCCAAGUUAAAUCUGAUACCUUUGUAAGAAUAACAGUACUUCAAACUCCGACAACAUUCGAACACAAAAUUAAUGCAAGCUUUCGUUUGUGUGAAGGAUAACACCAAAUAGUCCUGAAAUUGGAUUAUAGUGUCAUAUAAUUUGUUGUUUGGUUGGUAAGAUCGGGAUAACUUAUUCCGAAAUUAAUAAUUAGUAUCGGAAUAAGUUAUUCCUCUCCUUGGGUGGUAUAGUAAUCCCGGAAUAACUUAUUCUGAAAUAAAAUAAGUAAAUGACAAAAUAUCCCUUUUUCACAUUCAUGAAUGACAUUUUUGUAAACAAAUAACUUGUUCUUAAACUUUAGGUAAUGCAUAUUAUUUUGAAUACAACAAAUCAAACACUUAAUAAUAAAUAAUCUAAACAAAACUUAUCCCAUCAUAACUAAUCUCAGCAUAACUUAUUCCAUCGUUACUAAUCUCAUCAUAAUUUUUAUUCAAACCAAACAUAAUAUUAUGACAAUGAUGACACGAGAAUUUACCUUCUUUUCAACUUGUUAAGCUAAUAUAAAAGUGUUUUUCUGUUUAUACCUAACAAACAAAAGUUCCUAUUUAUACCUAAUAAUUUUUCGAAAUUAUGUGUCAGUUUGAUUGUUUGGUGUCUCAAAAGAUUUGGGUGGAAUAAAACAAAAGUAAUGCACAACCUUGGAGUAACCAAAAGUAAAUAUUACUAAUGAACAAAUGUUGAUGCAAGAGGUGAAGUCAUAGUAGGCAUUGAAAUUUUGCGGACUCUACAAGACGUGUUCAAUUUGAAUUGGGAUUUUAGAAGGUGUGUUCAAUUUCAAUUAAAAUUCUUGGAGGUCACUCAACCCUAAACCCCAGUUUAUGCCUAUAUAAAGGGUACUAAAUUCCCUUAAAAGACAUCUUAAAAUAUCCCAUAAACUCUUGGGUAUUUUUAAAGAUCAAGAUCUCGAAUAUUCCACAAAAGUCAUGGAAUAUUCAUAUAGAGGUCAAAUCUAAAUCAUCCUAGUUCGAGAAAUACGCUACUAACGGCCCUCGAAUCAUGGAUAAAUCUUAGGAGAGUGGAAUCAAGGGAGGAACAGAAUUGUACCCGCGCUAUUUAUCAAUAAAGUUAUGUUUCUUCUUAUUUUAUUGUGAUUGCAAUUUAUUUUCUAUCACUUUAAAAUUUGUUGCAAACAAAUUGCGACACCUAGUGGGACCAAAUCUUCCCUUCAUCUCUUCUCUUAAAUCAAAUAUGAAAAUAUGAAGCUGCAAAGGUGAAAUAAUGAACACAUCAAGUCUCGUCUUUGAGUUUCAUCAAGUCUACACUCCGACAAGCCUUGAAGCAGGGGGCAUUUGUAGACAUUGGAAUUUUGCGAACUCUACAAGACGUGUUCAAUUUAAAUUGGGACUCUAGAAGGUGUGUUCAAUUUCAAUUAGAAUUCUUGGAGGUCACUCAACCCUAAACCCUAGUUUAUGCCUAUAUAAAGGGUACUAAAUCCCUUAAAAGACAUCUCAAAAUAUCACAUAAACUCUUGGAUAUUUUUAAAGAUCAAGAUCUCGAAUAUUCCAUAAAAGUCAUAGAAUAUUCAAAUAGAGGUCAAAUCUAAAUCAUAUUAGUUUGAGAAAUACGCAACUAACGGCCCUCGAAUCAUGGAUAAAUUUUAGGAGAGUAGAAUCAAGGGAGGAACAGAAUUGUACCCGCGCUAUUUAUCAAUAAAGUUAUGUUUCUUCUUAUUUUAUUGUGAUUGCAAUUUAUUUUCUGUCACUUUAAAAUUUGUUGCAAACAGUCAUAUAGAUUGUUGUCUAGAUAGAUAAUGAUGUCUCUAUAUGUGAAAAUAUGAGGUAUUUUCCAACUAAUACAUUAGAGAUACUAUUACUCCCUCCGUCUUAUUUUAUAUCAAUUAAUGUAAUGAUCCGAUCGGUUUUUUUAGAAAGUUUCGUGAAUUGACUGUUUUUCUCCUCCCGUGAUCGAUCCCGAAUCUUUUAUGAUUGAGUUUGAGAAGUUGGUUUUGAACUUUGAGUAAAAAGUUGAGAACUUUGUAAGUUUUGAGUUUGAAAACUUAAUAUUGUUAAGAAAGUGGUUUUUGGAGUCUUGGAUUUUCGAGUGUCGAAAUGGAAUUUCGUUGAUUCUAUCAAUCCCGAAAUGUUUGUCGGUUUCAGAUUCCGAGUCUUUUGAGGAUUUGAGGUCCUAAGUUGUGAAAAUGUGGAAAUUUGCCUUUGAAUUGACUUUGGUCAACAUUAGGGGUUUGGAUGCUCGAAUCGGAAUUCCGAGAGUUCUGUUGGAUUCAGAUGAUGAUUUUAGGCUUAGGUGAGAUCUUGGUUGUUUUUUAAGUGGUCCCGAGCUUGUUUUAGCCUUUUAGGUAUUGAAUUUGUUUCUUGUGGUUUUCACAGAUGUCAUGUCAAUGAGAGCUUGGAUUCAUGUUUUGACGGUUCCAUUGAGUCCAGAACAUCGAGUAUAAUUGACUUGCAUAUCUGAUUUAUGUGUACGGGAUUCCGAACGAAUUUUGAGGGUCCUUGCGAUGUUUGCUGGUGUCUACCGGCCUUGCUUUUGCGACCUUCGCAGAAGCGAGAGCCACUUCGCUUAAGCGAGCUCUGCAAAAGCGAAGAAGGCUUUGAUUUUGAAAUAGUCACACUUUCAAAGAUUUUAUGUUCGAGUUUGCUGUCAAAAUUUAAACUGUAACAACACAUAAAUUGAGAUAAUAACCUUCCUUUGUAAAAUAGAGUAGCACAAAGAAUAUACUUGUAUUGUAUAUAAAAGCUCAAAACUAAUUAUACCUGACUUGUUCUCUUUUCAAUGAUUAUUUAUCUACUUAAGCUUGGCAUUGAAGUAAAUGCUUUGAAUUAGAAAGGAUAUACAACAUUAGAUGUAGUUGAAGCAGAUGCAAGUAACUCUGGUGCUCUUACAAUCUUCCCUGCAUUACAAGAAGCCGGUGCCAAAAGAUAUGACCAAUUACCACCAAAUUUUCAAGACAUCCAACACGUAGUUGCAUCACCAAUUUUGGGAUCAUCAUGGACAAGAAGAAAAACUAGUAUUUUCACUCUCCAUCCUUAUCAUCUCAACAUUCGUAUUAUAAUAAUCAUCAUCAUCAAAGGAAGCACAAUAUCAAUAAUUAUCGCGGUACUAGGACAAAAAAUAUCAAGCUGCAAAGUGAAGGUCUAAGAAAUGCAAGAAAAACGAUAACAAUUGUUGCAGUACAAAUAGAAACCCUGACAUUUGCUGCUGGUGUUAAUCCUCCUGGUGGAUUUAAUCAAGCAAAUGGAAAAACAUUGUUGGGUAAAAAAAUCGCGUUUAAGGUGUUUUUGGUAUGUAACAUUGUGGAACUUUUCCUUUCCGUUGGAAUUGUUAAUGUCCUUGUUAGUGUUAUCCCAUUCAAGAGAAGAAUGAUGAUGAAACUAAUGGUGGCAACACACAAAGUAAUGUGGAUUUCAACAUUAUUUAUGGUAUCAACUUAUAUAGCUGCAAUAUGGUCAAUAUUUCCACAACGAAAUGGGGAUUAUUGGGUGCUAAGUGAAGUUGUGAUCAUAGGGGAAUGGUGCACUAUGGCUGUGUUUCUAAGUUUGGGGAUUUUGUUAGUGAGACAAUGGAAAAGGAAGAGUGAAUGGAGAAAAAAAGAGAGGAACAUCAUAAGAAGAUGAAAGAGGAAAGUCCAAAGAGUAACACAAGUAGAAUUGAAGAAAUGGAAGUAGUGAAGAAAGAAAGUCAUGAAGAUGGUAGCAACUCAUAUGUUGAUAGCUCAGAUCAAGGUUAUCAUUUGUAUUAAUUGUAUUGGGUAAAAAUAAAAAUAACUAGUUGUUUAAUUAUAGAAGGAAUCUAUUAGUUAUUUUUUAAAGCAAAUUUAACACUAGAUAGUGUCUAACGACCUUUUAUUAAAUAUAAAAAAUAUCAAUAGGGAUAAGUACAAGCAAUGGGGGGCUAGGCCUUACCUUACUAAUCCUAAUGAAGUACCUAACUUCUGCUACCUAACAAGCAUGAAGAAAAUAAUAGUGUAACGACCUGAUUUCGUCGUCAGGGAAAAGCCAAUGGGGAAAGAAUUGGGUCGAGAAAACUUUUGAGUAGUGACUUGGAAAUUCCUAGCCUAGUCCAGAUUUGGACGAAAUCUAAGUAAUGUGAGGUCUAGAGAAAUUUGGUAAUAAUGAGAGAUAUAAUAAAGAAUUUGAUGACAUUAAUGGAUUGCCAAGAUGUUAAGAAAAUCGUACGACUUUACGGAAUCAAUUCGGGCGAAUAGAACUCCCGAAACUGAUCUUAGCAUGAACGGGUAGUUUUUGAAUGUCAUGGGUUGAAGGUGUGUUGUGAAAUGGGGGUUUGCAACUCUAAUUUCGACGUUCUGUCUCCACGCAAGCUACCAGGGCGGGGCCGCUGUAGCGGGAUGGGGUCCGCUGUGGCGGGCCAGUCGCAACUUAAGUCGGGGAAAACCCCCAAUUUCAUUAUUUUCCUGCAAACUUCGUUCUUAAGAGUUAGGAGACAACCCAGGAUGAAUUCUUUAGAGUUUUCCACGACUUUUGGUGCUAAAGGUAAGGAUUUUACUCCCCUAAUCCAUUUUUCAUCCGUAGAACAUAAAUUCAUGGGUAAUUAUCGUUGAAGGAGGGUUUUGGCCUAAAGUUAAUAGUGGGAAAAAGCCCUAGCUGCAUCUUAGGAUCAUGGGUUUAGUCUUGGGUUAUUGGGUUGUUAUAAUCCGGAUAAUUAAACCUUAAUUUAUUGAUCCUUGCAUUAUAUUAAUUGUUUGUAGACCUAGAACAAGCGGAAUGAAUCUGGAAAGGGAAGAUUCAAGUGCCUUAGGGGGAUUUAAGCUUGGUUUCGAGGUAGGUGAUGGUUUUAUUUAAUGUUUGUGUGAUGUAUGUUAGUAAUUGCUUCAUUGUAAUGCAUGGAUGUAUGUGAAUAAAACACUAUUGAUCAAACCUAAUGUAAAUGAGUAUGAAUGAACCAUUGUAUGACAUGAAUUGAUUGUAUGAUUAUGAGAAUGUACAUUAUGAGUGUGAUUGUGAUUGUGGUUAUGUUGAUUGGAUCGGGUGUCACGUUCCGACACAUGUAUUGGAUUGAGUGUCACGUACCGACACACUAAUUGGGAUCAGGUGUCACAUUCUGACACAUACAUUAGAUCGGGUGUCACGUUCUGACACACUUAUUGAGAUCAAGUGUCACGUUCCGGCACACUAUUAGUUUGGGUAUGGGUUCCAUGAGAGGACCAUUGUGUUGUCAUAUCUAACUGUUGUUGAGAAUGCGGAACUGAACAUUGCUCCUGAAAUGAUAACUGUAUAUAUAUUUUGUAUGUGCGUGUUUACUAUGUUGUGACUGCUUAUAUAUAUAUUGUGCUUACUGGAAUAGUCGCAUGAUCUUACCAAUACAUUGUGGUUGUUUACUAAUACUGCAUUUGCUCUUUCUUUGUUGAGUGCAGGGCAUCUUCAAACGACUAUUGAUAGACCUUAGCUAGGAGAUCGAUGAUCGAGACCGGAUUUCAAGGAUGAGCCAGUUCUUUCAGGCUUCCAUGGAGUCCUUCAUUUUGCUUAGUCCAUUCUUUUCAGACUUAGACAUGUUUUAGUAGUUUGCUUAUGUUUGGUUGGGGUUAUACCCCUUUUCCUUAGACUUGUUGAACUUUAGAUGUUUUGGUACAAUGAUUUUUAGGUUCUAGGGGUUGUUUUCCGCAAUAGUUCAUUAGUUGUUUGUUAAAACUUUCGGAGUUUAUGGGAACUCUGUAUUAUCUAUUUAGUUAUUUAAACUUGCUUUCAUAGCUUUAAAUGUUUAGUUUUUGGCUAAGUUGCUUAGUUGGCUUAUAAUUAUGGUUCUCCCACCGGAGGGUUAGUGUGGGUAUCACUCAUGACGGUCUGGGUUGUGACAAACUUAGUAUCAGAGCCCUAGGUUCGUUGAACUCAUUAUACCAAAACGAGUCUAGUAGAGUCUUUUGGAACAGUACAAAGAUGUCUGUACUUUUCGUCGAGAGGCUAUAUGACUUUAGGAAAUCUCUUUAUUUCUACUCCUUUCAUGCUAUUACUUGAAUCAAAUUGGUAUAUGGGUGAUACAAAUUGGUAUAUUUCUUCCUUCAUUCGAUGGUCCGAACUAGAGCAACAUAAGUGGUAACACCAACACUAGCAAGAGAGGAUGUGUCCUUGAAAAUAAGCAUGUCAAUGUGGGCAUGUAAUGACUAGUUACCAACAUGAUUUUUUGGUUGAUUGUCAUGAGCUGUUUCAUAAAAGGGUUAAAGUAGAGUGAUUUGGUGUUGAGGUUAUGAUUUACCAGUUCAAGGGAGACACCAGUAUGUGGUAGUGGUCUCAUGUUGAGUGCCGACUAGUAAAUGCACUACUCAUGAUUUGGGAAACAUUUUGUAGCUUUCUUUAUGGAGAAGUAUAUGCCCUGAACUUUGAGGGAUAUAAAGAGAGAUGAGUUCCUGAAUAUAGAGCAACAUAAUAUAUUUGUUGCAGCCUAUAUGGUGAAAUUUUAUGUUUCAUCCAAAUAUGGUACUCCACUUUGCUUCAGUCAAAAAGAGUAAAUUUGUCGCUUUGUGAAGGGAUUAAGGUCAGAUUUGUAGAUUCAAACUUAUAGGUGACAACAUUCAAGAAGUUUUGGUAAGGGACGACUAGAUAAUGAAUGCCAUUACUUUGGAAAAUGCAUUUAGUAUUAUUGUCAUAACAUGUAUGGGUUGUUUAGCGAAUGAUGAAAUUAAGUUAUGCCAAUUGAGGUUAGAAGCUAUACUACGAUUUCAUGAAGUGAUUGUAUAUCAAAGAGGGUCAUGAUACGACUGCUCCAAUAGCAGCGAUGCUUACUUGGUUAAGUUAUUAAGUGUGUUAAAAUUGUGGAGAACCUGGGCAUAUGAUGAGAGAUUGUCCCUAUCCGCGCAUGUCUAACCCCGUGCCGCAGAAGGUCAAAGCAGUGGUACCAACGAGCAACAGUAGUAAUGGUAGAGGACGUCCAUGUAUAUCGUGUUUGUCCGGUUGUGUUUAUGGAUUUUCAGACUUGGGUUGAUUUGGUUAUUCUGGAUAUGACUGACUUUGAUAUAAUCUUAGGCAUGACUUAGUUGUCCCCCUAUUAUGAUGUGCUUAAUUGUAAUGCUAAGUCGGUAACUCUAGAGAUCCCAGGUAGGGAAAGGUUAGAGUGGGAAAGGGUGUACAAGCCUAAGCCAGCUAAGGUCAUAUCUUUCGUACGAGCUAGGAAACUGGUAGGGCAAGGGUGUUUGGCAUAAUUUGAUCAUAUUCAGGAUAUUGAUGUUGAGUCUCCUUCUAUUGAGUCUAUUGCUGUAGUGUCUGAAUUCAAGGAAGUGUUUCCUACCGAUUUGCCUGGUAUGCCUACAGAUAGAGAUAUAUAUUUCUGCAUUGACUUAGAACCUGGUACUCGCUCCAUUUCUAUUCCUCCUUAUCGCAUGACUCUGAUAGGAUUGAGAGAGCUUAAAGCUCAAAUCCAAGAGCUUCUUGAUAAAGGUUCAUCCGUCCUAGUGCUUUCCCGUGGGUUGCUCAUGUAUUGUUUGUUAAGAAGAAGGAUGGUAGUAUGAAGACAUAUAAUUUUAUCUUAAGCCAUAAGGGAGUGGAUUGAUACCGGAAUGACGAACUUAGGGAUAAAUAAAUUCCCAUGUAGUAUACUUGGGUGAAGGCAGUUGAAGAUUUUAGUAAGAAUAUGCGUAUAAAAUUUGGUUAGUCCUUUGAAUUUGAUGGGUAUACCUGAGUAUAAGGUGUCCUGUCGAUUAAAAGGUUGACUUUGUAGUGAUAGCCAGGGCUAACUGAGCAUAAUGGUAAUAAGAGUUUGUGAUGGGAUGCAACUGUAUAAUAAGAUUAUUGGUUAAGCGAAUUUUAUAUAUUAAUUAUGACUUGCGAGUAUCUAAGGUUGUGGUUUUCUAAUAUUUGGUAAGUAACAUGAUUGGAUGAAUAGUUUUAAGAUAUGGUGGGACACUACUCGAAUAGAAUUUAAAAGAGCUAAAGUCAUAAUGAAGGAAAAAAAUAGUGAGAUGUAGUAUAGCCUUUAGAGAAAGGCGAGAGAAAUAAUAAUUUAUUUGAUGGCAAGGGAUAAGGAGGUACCGUUCGAAUGGACUGAAAAAUGCGAGGAGAGCUUUCAAGAGCUCAAGACUCUUUUAACCACAACACCUAUUUUGGCACUAUCGGUGGAAGGUAAAGAUUUCAUUGUUUAUUGUGAUGCUUCACAUCCGAAUUUGGGUGCUGUGUUGAUGCAGGAUAAGAAUGUCAUAGCUUAUGCAUCGCAGCAGUUGAAGGUGCAUGAGCGAAAUUACCUAACACAUGAUUUGAAGUUGGCAGCGGUAGUGCUUGAUCUUAAGAUCUAGCGGCAUUACCUUUAUGGUGUCAAGUGUGAUGAUAAUUGCUUUGUUUUUAUUUUUGAGUUUGGUAAUGAAUACGAUUGAAUUUCUAGCGAAAGAUAUUGUAAGAUCGAUGGAGAUGCGAUCAAUGAUAAGCGAAGAAUCAUGAAUUCAUAAAAAUCUUUAAGGUAAAAGCUAAUGUUGAUAGAUAAGGGGAUUGUGUCAUAUGGUUGAAUUUACAAUUCAAAUAUUUCAUUGUAAGUCUAUAUUCGUGGUGAUAUAUUUUGCCAAGGUAUGAAACUGCAGGGUGAAAAAUGAUCAAUUGUAUCAGAUAUUAAGCACGUGAAAGGACUUACACCUGGUUUGAGUCGUAAAGCUUAUUACUUUUGAUUGUUGAAAUACCGAAGAAAAGUUUUCAUUUAAAAAGUGUUGGUUUAGAGUAAAGUAAAUGGUCCGAGUGUUUAUGAUGGUGGUUAAUAUUGAGAGUGUGGGAUCACUGGAAUGAUGUGAAGACUAUGUGGACUCAACUGAAUGGAAGUGGCUGGUAUCAGCUCUUCAGAGGAAAACCUUUAAUGUUAUUCGAUCUUUAUUCCGUAAAUUAUUUUGUGACCAUCUAUUUCAUUUUGUACAUGGUGGUGAGUAUGAUUCACUAGCUAUGCUCAAGUGUGUUUUCACUUUUGGUGGGCUAGUAGUGGAUCAGGUGUAUUGAUCUUGCAAUUGCUCUCUUGGUUGAGUGAGAUGAUUGGGAACACUUGGUUAAUUCAGAUGACACAAUUGGUGUUGUCUUGGAGUUGUUAAAGUAUUCCAGUGGUUCUAUAUGUACCACCUUGCUUAUGAGAAUUUAGAGAAGAGCUACCAUGCGUAUUUAUGGUUGUCCGACAAUCUUAUUAUUCAUCUAGUCGUUGAGGUCAUGCAUCGAUUAUGUGUGGUUGAAUGUGAGGAUCAUUGGGUCCAAUUCUACUGUUCUUAAGGGUAAUCUACCAUCACAAUUACUAAUCUAGCAUUUCGAUAGUGUUGUUAGAGGGUUUGUAUGCUUGGACAUAUCCCACGAUGAGUAUCUGCUGUCUAAAGAUCAAAUUUUUAUAACUUAAGCUCAUGGAAAUUUAUGUUAUGAGAUGGAGAUGUUGAUAAGAACUUUGAUUGUUUGGGUAUUAUAAGUGUGUGUUGGUUGGUUCAGUUCACCUCUAAUUUUACCGAGUAUUAAUUUAUGAUGUUAUCAUGGUUAUGUGAGAAAAGAUUCGUCCUGAUGAUUGUGUCAAGGUCUUCGAUAACAUGCAUUCAAGAUAAGAAUAAAAUCAACGUCAUGAUUUCAUGUGCAUUGUAUGGUGAGCUUUUAGAUCAAAAUUCAAUUGCAUCGCACUUUUGAUCUAGAACUUGGUUUGAAUGGUAUCGAAGCGAAAUCCUGAGUAAUGUUUGAUAUGGGAAAUGAUUGUAGGCCUUCUUUGACCAAUUGUGCUUUCAAAACCUACCAAAUGACAUUGAUCCCUAGUUUUCCCCACUUUGAGCCUGAAGCCUUUGUUUGGACAACCACAUCUUAUCCACUACCCCUUUUGAGUGCUUACAUGAACUAUCCCUCUCUUGGCCCAACCUUCUUGAGUACACCAAGAGUGUGCAAAUUAUAAGGAAGAUCCAUGUUUGAAGUUGCCAAAGGCAAAAGAUAUUAAGUUUUCCAAAUUCAAGGAAACAAAGAUGACUUCUAGAGAAGGAAUAAAAAAGAAAGAAAGAAAAAAGGUUGAAAGAAAUAAAGAAAGAUAAAAACACCUCUACAAGGCCAAUGAAAGACGGAAAGGAAAAUACUCCAAUAAAACAGGAGUAAAAUUCAAAACAAAAGGGUGAAAUAAAAAAAAAGCUUCAAGAAAUAAGGACUCAGAAGAAGUCGAAACAAAGGGAAAAAAAGGAAAAUCUCUAAAAAAUUAGAAUUCAAAAGACGUCGAAAAAUAGGGGGACAAUGAAGAGGAUCAGACGCCGAAGUUGUAUCAAGUGUCAAAAGCACAGAUUCUCUGUGACGCUCAAGAAGGAAUUAAGUCACUCUUAUCCCAAAUAUAUAUCCUACCCACCCAUAAGCCUACAUUACAAGCCAAUGACAAGCCCUACAUGAUCUUAUUCCAAAUGUUCUCACAUUAGUGGAGAUUUACAUAAGAGUCAAGCAUAUGGAAUCACAGUUGCAUGCAUUGGACAUUCUUGUGAGUGUAAGUGCACUUUGAAAAAUGUCCUCAAAUAAUAUGCUUCAAAUAUGUGUGAAAUAUGACUUUUCUUAAUGAGAGGGCAAUUGAAACAUGAGGAUUGGUACACUUCAAAACCUUUGUUUUAAGUAAGGUGAACAAAUCUUUUUGAUCCUGAAAUAUGUUUGAGGUACCAUUUGAAGCUGUACGAAUUACCUUGAAUUCAAUCUUAGUUAGAAAAGAAAAAAUAAAUAAGAAGGAGAGAUUUACUUGCAAUCUUAACUAUUGGUACUAAUUGUAGUCAAGAUUUGACUGUCUCAUCACAUUCUUUAUUUCUAAAAAAGAAAACAAAAAGUGAGCAAGCACCCAUUCUUUAAUAUUUUCCAAAACAUUAUUUUUUUAGAUUCAUUCCAUUAAAAAAAUUGCAUUUUCUUUUUGGGUUGUCCGUUGUAAAUCGUGACAUUAGGCUAACCUCGUAAGUGUGAGAUGCCUAUUUUACUUCAUUGGGUUGUCCGUCUAAAAAAUGUGACAUGUGAUUUGUCUCUAGGCUUUGAAUAUCACAAGAAAUAUAAUUUUCCUAUUUCAUCAUGUUCAUAUUGUACAUUUUCUACUGAUGAUGUUGUCUCAGAUUCUUUACAUCAUUCAUCAUCUACAGGAUUGGAACUACAUUUGACUUGAUUCCUGGCUCAACAGGAUAUGUAGACGCCACGACAGCACGGUCAUUUAUCCAGUGUGAUUUUCUUUUCUCCUUGUAAUAAAAACUGGAGCAAAAUUUUUGAGAAUAUCUCAAAAAUUCACAAUAAAGGUGCUAUCUUCAGCAAGUCAAUAUUGGAGAUCAUUUUGAGAUUUGCCAAAAGUUCUAACUGGGACAUAAUUUUUUAGGAUCUUCCUAAAAAAUUCCAACAAGUACUGUCAGAAGCUUGAUAGUCAACUUCAAAUGAUCCAUCAUCGCUUGUAGUUCAAAGUCAACUUGCAAAUCUCAAGUAUUGUCAUGGCGAGCCAACAACUCCUAGUACAAAUCUCCAAUAAGACAUGGAUCACAAUAAACACAAAAAGGUCAAGAGUAAAAUGUUGUUUGCUCACAUGUGUCAAAGUGAUCAAGCAUUUUGUACACAUUCUCUUUUAAAGUAUCUUUUCUCAAGGUUUCUUGACUAAGUCGCUUACUAAGGCAACAUUGUGUCUACUAAUUGUUCCUUUUCAAGUACGAGAACAGAUGAAAGAAUUGAGGGCGAUGACACUUUUAAGACAAAUCAACGAGCCAUCCACAUCGUUACAUUGGACAAUCACCGAGCCAUCCACCUCGUUACAGUGGACAAUCACUGAGCCAUCCACCUCAUUAUAGUUGGAAAAUCGAGUCACCCUCCUCGUUACAGUGGACAAAUCAAGUCAUCCACCUCAUUACCGUGGACAAUUAUCGAGCCAUCCACCUCAUUAUAGUUGGACAAUCACCGAGUCAUCCACCUCGUUACAGUGGAAAAUCAUGGAGUCAUCUAUCAUUUGCAUUUUUCAUUUACCGAGAGGGCCAUUGCAUUUUUUUUCAUUUGUCGAGAGGGCCAUUGCAUUUUUCAUCUGCCGAGAAGGUCAUUGCAUUUUUCAUUUUCCUAAGAGGGUCUUGUAUUUUUCAUUUGAUAAGAGGGCCAUUGCAUUUUCAUUCACCGAAAGGCCAUUGCAUUUAAGUCGCAUCUAUUCGGAGGUGAAUGAUGUGCACCCUAUUUAUUCCACGUUCAAGUCGGUGGAGACUUGUGUUGAAAGAUAUAGGUAUUUAAGUCGCAUCUAUUCGGAGUUGAAGGAUGUGCACCUUAUCUAUUCCGCGUUCAAGUCGGUGGAGACUUGUGUUGAAAAAUAUUUGCAUUUAAGUCGCAUUUAUUCGAAGGAGAAGGAUAUGCACCCUAUCUAUUCCACGUUCAAGUUGGUGGAGACUUGCGUUGAAAGAUAUUUGUAUUUAAGUCGCAUAUAUUUGGAGGUGAAGGAUGUGCACCAUAUUUAUUGCACGUUCAAGUUUUAGUCUUAUCAGGGACCGCUUCCUUUCCUUGACAUUCCAUCACAACUUGUUGAUAAUUCCACGGUACGGCCUUAGUAUCAUACACAAAUGACUGCCUUGGUGCUCCUAAUAUCUCAAUAGGUACUAAACCUCUUACCGUUAUAGCAGGAGAAGUAACAACCACAACAGUAUAAUUUUAUACGCUCUUCACAUGUACUAUAAACUUGGUUGGAUCAUCAUCACCGUUACCUACUCCAAUCAUAUUCACUGAGGCGCCAUUAUGGUUCGGGAGUGGAUUGUUAUUCACAUUUGGUGUCGGUUACCGUACUGUGAUUUGUUUCAUCUCAAUGAAAUCCCCAACCCUAUGCUUCAAUGCAUAACAACGAUCAGUAGAGUGUCCUUUAACCCUCGAAAGGUAUCCAUAUGUUUUAGAGGUAUCAAAACUUCUGGGUAAUCGAUCUGGAAUUCUACCUUCCACGGGAUACAAUAAGCCUGAUGCUUGCAACCUUUCAAACACAACACUCAGUGGCUCCCCCAAUGGUGUAAAAUUAUAGGAAGGUCUAUUUGAACGUGGUGCAGAUGGAUUGUUUUGAUGAUAGAAUUGUGGUGGUGGGGCUUGAUAGGUAUGUGGUUAUGGAUCUCGAUAUGUUGUUAGUGUGUGGUAGACAGGGUAUGAAAAUUGUGAUGGAUGAAGUUGGUAAUAUGAUGGAGAUUCACAGUAUGAAUGUGAGGGAUAUUGGAGGUAUUGUGAAUGGGGAGCACGAUGUUGAUGUUGUGAAGGUUGCUAAUGGUGAUAUGAAGUACCUCCCAGAACCAUUACCGCAAUAACUUCUUUUUCUUUUUUCGUUCCACUUUCAAGAGCACCAGUUUGGAGGGCCUUACUGGUAAACUGUAAUGCUUGCUAGACUUGUAAUUCUUCCACUCUUGAUGCCAUUUUUGAUCAUGUCUCCGACUUUGAUCACUUCAGCAAAAGAUUUUCCACCCAUUGUGAGCAUUCGUUCAUAAUACUCUGGUUCUUGUGCCUGAAUGAAAAAAGUGAUCAUUUCUACUUCCUCCAUGGGUAGGUGUACCCUAAAUGCUUCUUCCCUCCACCGUAUGGCAUAUUUUCAAAAUAAUUCAAUUGAUUUCUUCUUCAAUUUGGUGAUUGAAAUUCUGUCAGGAGCAAUCUCGACAUGAAACUUAUAGUGAUCCACAAAAGAAUUUGCCAAAUCAUCCCAAGUAAGCCAUUUUGUUGUAUCUUGAUUAGAGUACCACUCUAAAGCUUUCCCACUCAAGCUUUGAUUGAACAAUUUAAUCCUAAUCCCUUCAUUCUUCCCAACACCAAUCAAGUUUUUCAAAAUAGACUUUCAAGUGAAAGAAAGGAUUUCUAGAUCCAUCAAACUUUUCAAAUUUGGGAAUCUUGUAACCCGGUGGCAACUCUACCUCAGGAAAAGCACAUAACUCUUCAUAUCUUACACUUUGGUUACUAUCAAUCCCGCGCAAACUUCACAUAGCAUCUUCCAAAUUCUUGAGCUUCUUGUUUAUCAAUUCAUCACUAACUAACCUUGACUCCUUUUCAGCUUCAAUAUAAUGAUCAACAUCUGGACGACAUAGUUCAUGAAUUUGUGUCAUAGAUGGAGCUGUGGCAUUAGUAUAUACCGGUGGAACUAGUUGUGGAUUAAUAGCAUCAUUAGCCACCGAUAUGUACUGAGCCUUUGAAGGAGCGACAAUGAACAGAUGAGGAGCAUUUUGAGUAACUUGGUGGAUGGGUGGUGCAUUUUGAACGGGUUGAGAAGUGGUAAAAUAAUUCACUUGGUUAUGCUCAUCCAAAUUUGGAAAUAGAGGUGGCAUUGGCAUACUCUGACGAACCAGGAGAUGGAGUCAUAUCUAGUGGAGAUUGAGACAAUGACUUUUUCUAAAUCACCAUACGACUAAAUUCAGCAAUUCUUUGCUCUAAACGAGCAACGGUAUUUGGGGUUGUUUCUGAUUCUUUUGAAGUGGCGGGAUCACUUGUGAUGGGUAAAGUAAGAAUUGUAUCAGAUGAAGUGGUUGCAUUAGUCAAAUUUUGCUCCAUUUUAGAACGAAUCUUUUUUGUUGCCUAGGUGAUAAGUAGUGAGUCUGCAACUGAUUUCUUGACUUUGGACAGUGUGAAGUAUGAAUGCUUCGCCAGUUCCCCUUUUAGCACAAGUCAACCUUUUUUAUUUUGAAAAAUAUAUUUUUAAAUAACAAAAACGAAAAAGAAGAAAAAAAGAAAAAUAAACACAAGUUAGUAUGUGAUAAAGAUAUAAUGUUGCAAAAUAAACACGUUGUAACACAUAGAAUAAACAUAUUAUUGUGUUUUAUAUGCAAGGGGACCUCUUUGAGCCAGAGGUAGGCCUAACGAAUAUUUGAAGGACAACCAUGUCUUUUAUGUAUCAUUCCAAACUCUCCAUAACUUAAGCUUUUACAAUAAAAUGGAAAAUAAAAUGUAUACAUUGAAAUUUCCAAUUACAUGUUGAAAAUGAAAUAAGUACAAAGUUAAUUUUUUUUCACUAAUCCUCUUUAUCGCCUCGGCAUGUUAACCACCAAUCAAAAAAUCAUAUAGUUACCUGCAAGAAAAUGUUAGUUUUUUUUCUUUAAUAAAUAUCUAUCUAUAUAGAGUAAUAGGUCCACAUAAUCGGCAUAUUUAUCCUUCAAAUGAUGCACAUAAAGUAUGAUAAUUGUCACUUAGGGUCGUAUGAUGAGUCCACUAUUUGGACUCAUUUAGGGCUUUAUUUUAAUACAUUUAGUAUCCUCGAAUGCAUAUUUUGUCUAAAUAACUGAUGUAAAUCCUUGAAUUUCAGGUAUUUGGACUUAGAGACAAAGCAUGGACGCUAUUGAGCAAAAAGGAACGAGUCACCUAAAAGAACGAAGAAAAGAAGGCUUGAGGAUCGCCUAAACCAUUGGGUGAGUUGUCGAAUGGCCUUGGUCUCACCUAAUGUUCCAGUGUGCCAGGCCUUGAAGGAGAAAUUCAAGUCGGCGAUAAAAAGGAGCAGUCGAGGAGUCGCCGAAUGGUUCUGAGAUGCAGUGUCAUAUUUCCCAAAGUUAUAGAGCUUGAAGUGCUGAAGGCCAAAGCGAAAAAGGCGAUAGGAAUGAUCAAAGGGCAGAUCGCCGAGUGGAUCGGCGAUCCCAACUUAUUUUGCCGAAUGGUCCUUCGCAAUACAUUGUUUAACAACUAGAAAUACAUGUUUGAAUUUUUAGUUUAGUAUGCAAUUUUCAAUCUAUUAAUUUUAGUAUCAAUUUUUGAGUAAGAAGCUUAGAACUGAAUAGAAAGACAAUUUUUCCUUAGCUUUGAAGAUUUGAAGAUUUCCAUUUCUAAGAAAUUGGAAGUGGGUGUUGAAGAUUCUUCACCUUAGACCUUUGUAAAGAAUAUAUCAAUUCUACCUAGUUGAUGGAAACACAACUUGGUAACGAUUUUUACCUUUAUACUAUGUCUAGCUAAAACCCCAAUUUUUGGGGUGUGAUUAUGUGAUUAUGGGUUGAUUUAACUGUUGGGUAUUGUUAAUCGAUAGUUUAUUUGCUGUUUAAAAGUGAUUUCGUUCAGUAAUUGUGGUUGAAUUUAAUGGGUUGUAAUUGCCAAUACAAUCUUAACUUCGUGUUUUUCGCUUGAACGAGAGAGAGGUUUGAAAACCAAAAUUACUGAAUCGAUGGUUUGUAGGUAUCGGGUUGUCAUGGGUUCAGCUUGAGAGAGUGAACCCUAAACCCUUUUCCACAUAUUCAACUCGAGAGAGUAAAUGGACUAAAGCGAAGGCUGUGCUUCAUUGCUGCUUAUUGGUGUUCAAGAGAAACCAAUUUGAUUCGAGGUAAAUUGUUUGAGAGAAAGUUUACCCCCACUAAAGUCUAGCUUAUUCACUGAUUUGUAGUUGUUUACUAUUAAAUGCAAUUACCUGAUUGUUUAACUUAGCCCAUAAUCCAAUCACAUUCUAAGAAUUCCGUCUCUAUAAUCGUAUCUUUGUGUUAUUUACUGUUUUAGUCUAUAAUCGAAUACAAAAUCCCCUUAUGAUAUUUGACACUUGUGUCAACUAUGAUUUAAACCAUGUUUUUCCUUGUAAAUGUUUUUAGUAAUGAUUGAUUAGAGCAUAUUCUUACUUGCCUAUUGAUUCUCGAUUACGAACAACUCCCUUGGAACUCGACCCCAACUCACUAGUUGAGUUAUAUUACUAAUGAAUAAUCAUUGAUGCUUAGUAUUGGAUGAAGCAUCUUUGAUAGUGUUCUAUAAAAAUGGUGCCGCUAUCAGGGAGUGGUGUUACUUGAGAAUUUUUAGUUACGUUGAAUUUUUGUUCUUGUUAGUCAUAGUUCUACUUACUUGACUUUUAGUUUUGUUUUGUGUGUUUGUGUGUUAAAACAUGAAGUAUGAGUGUGAACGACAACAGUGACAGCCAAGUAAGCCAUCAAGAUGACAUCGGAAAGCUCAACGAUGUCAACUAGCCUUAUGCUAAUGACCCCCAUCUCAUGGGCGGUAUUUGUGUCAUUUGCUUGCCUUCAGCUGAAGGGAAUGUCGUGUUUCACAUCACGAGUACUAUGUUGCAACUCUUGCAACUAAAGGGGCUUUCUAGUGGUUUGGCUCAUGAGGACCCUCACGAGCACAUUAGAAACUUCAUGGAUAUGUGCGGACCAUUCUCCUUCAAGAAUAUCUCCCAAGAAUCGGUCCGGUUAAGGUUGUUCCCGUUCGCUUUGAUGGGAGAAGCAUGCAAGUGGCUGGCUGAAUUGCCACGUGAAUCAAUCAUUUCAUGGGAGGAGUUGGUUACCACAUUUAAUGUGCGAUUUUUCCCUCCUUCGAAGAUGAUGACUCUUCGGGAUAGCAUUCAGAGCUUCAAGAGUCUAGAAGGCAAGCCAAUUCAUGAAACUUGGUUGUGAUUUAAAAAGUUGGUGCUUCAAUGCCUAACCCAUGGCUUGUCUAAUAACGUGUUGCUGCAGUAUUUUUACCGGAGUCGCAACUCGAUAAAUAAGGGUGUUGUUGACCAACUUUCUUCAGGAGGUUUGAUGCAACAACCUUAUGUGAUAGCGGCUCAGCUCUUGGAUGCCAUGACUACCAUAAACAGGGCGUGGUACACCCCUGAAAACUAGGUCUCCCUUCUCACGUUCAAGUUGACGAAGGAACAUAUGAAGAAGGACCAAGAGAGGGACCAGAACAUAGCCAAGAUCAUGACAUAACUUGACAUUUUAUCUAAAAAUGGCAUGGGAGUUGGUGCUCGAAGUGUCAAUGUCGUGGGUGUCGGGUGUGCUAAUCUGGAUGAGUCCAAGUUUGAGGCCUUGUAUAAUGAAGAGGUGAAUUUCCUAGCCAACCAAGAUGGUGGUUAUUCUUCAUAAUACCCGAGUCAGGGUGGUAACUAAGGUUGGAGUAGGGAAGAAGGUUGGAAAGAUUGAGAUCGUGAAUGGAGGGACCAUAAUCCAAAUUGGAAGGAUAGGGAGAAGGAUAGGUAUGUGCUUCCCCACGAGCGCCAACUGCCGAAGGAUUCGGAAGGUAGUAGGUCUGAGGAUAUGCUUUCUCGUAUCCUUAACAAAGAUUAGGGGUCAGACAAGAUCUUGAAAGAGAUGAAAGAAAACGUGUCGACCCAUAGCCAGACCGUUACCUCACAUUAAGUGUCGAUCAAGCAGUUGGAGACCCAAAUGGGUCAUAUCUCGUCUCACCUAAAUCUGAGACAGCAAUAGGGGUUGCCUAGUGACACUAUGGUCAACCCCAAGAAUGAAGUUUGAAGGUGGAUUUGCGUCGUGCCAUGACGUUAACUAAGGCGCUGCUUGAGAGGCAACCCAAGACCCUUUAUUGCUUUAAUUUUGUUUUGGUAAAUAAUAGUGUAUUGAUUGUGGAGGACAAAGUGCGGAAAGUGAUUGAAAAGUACAGGUUGGCGAGCAAAUGGUCCAGUCGGUGCAUCGUCGAAGAACUCGGUGACCCCGACACAGACCGAUGUUGGAUUUAAGAUAAUUUCAAAGUAGAGUCUGUAAUACUCGGCAAGCCCAGGAAAUUAUUAAGAGUCGCCGACCAGGUCGGCAAUCGGGAUCUAUACCGCCGUUUGGACCCCCAAAUCAACUAAGAGCCCUGUAAAACUCAGUGAGGUAAGUGACCAUUAGGUGUGUCAACGAGUGGGUCGGCGAGCAUGACUAAUGUCGUCGAAUGAGCAAGAACUGGACGGUUUUUAUAAGGCCAAAGGUUUAAAUUUUCAAAAUCUUUACUUUCCCUCACUUUAAAUCUUCACAACCUCACACCUGCACCUUAGUUUAUAUAUUUUCGCAUUUCGAGAAGUAUUUUAGUUGUUGAUUAGUGCUCGGAGUUGGAUUACAUUGCCACCUAGCAUUUCAAUCUUAUUUUUUAUAUAUCGGCAUUAAAGGUUAGUUUUCCAAACUCCGUAUUUACUUUUGGCAUUUGUACUCUUAUGCAAUCGAUAUUAUCUUGUUGAAGUGUGCUGGCCUCUUUGAGCUUAAUUGUUGUUUGAUUGCCUGUUUUUAAUUUGAUACCCGUGCCCGUAUUGUUUUGAUUGUGAAAUCCCUUAUUCUUGUGCUUUGAAAUGAAUUAAAAUUUAUGGGGUUGUACUUGCAUGUUUAGUUUAGUUGGGUGAAGUCUGAGUAGCCCGUAUUUGUGCCAAGCGACGCAAUUUUCCCAAUGAUAGAACGGAUGACAUCUUUUUUAAGAGCAAAAGUCGUCAAUUGGCUAAAUUUGGCAAAAUCGGGAGAAGUCAAAGUAUUUCGGGGUAAUGGGUGCUAUGGGUCUAGUCUUAAUUUGAGUUGUGCAUGCUUUGAUUUUAUUUUCGGAGGUUGCGGGGAUGAAUUCGAGAAGUUGGGUUGAAAGAGGCACGUUGGGUCGUUUGGUGAGCUGGGUCGAGCUCGCCGAACCACUUGGCGGUUCACCAAAAAUCUCGAUCUCGCCUUUAAUUUCAUGCUUUAAUUAUUGUUGAACUCUGUAACUUUUGGUGAGAAGUCUGAGGUCACUGAAGGCACUCGAUGACUUGUCGUAAGUCUUCUUGAUCACCAUUUGUCUGCACCCCUGAACCCUUUUUGCACUGUAACUUCCAGCGGUCUAACCCUUGCUCGCCAAAAGCUAUCGGCGAUUCACCAAAAGGCAUUUCCCACGGCCGACUUGCCAAAAGUUAAGAGCCAUUCCUUUCAGCGAGCUAGAUUUGUCUCACCAAAGUGAUUCGGCGACACGCUGACUGGAUCGACGAGUGUGUCUGCAACUGGUUUUCUGUGCUUUUGAUUAAAUUUUUUAUAACUUUUUCUCGAUGCUUUACAGACAUGGCUAGACCAAAAGUUGCUGGGAGAAUCAUGCCACCUCGAAAGAUAAGAGCAUGAAAUUUCAAAAUAAAUGAAGAGAGGUCAAAUCUCCCUAAGAAGGGAAGACAAGAACCUCCACUUGGAGAUAAAGGCAAGGACAAUAAGCCUAUUUCUGACAGAAAGACUGCUCUCGAGGCCCAUAUAUUCCUUCAGGGGUUCCGAGAUUCUAUGCAACUGUGUAAACCUUUUUGGCUGCUACACCUUUGGUAGGGCCUUGUGGGUCUAGCACUAUUGUCCCUUCUUAGGUGACUCCGGACACUGAUGCCCAAGUUCAGAUUGAUGCUCCAGGCAUUGAUGCCUAGACAGAUGGAGCGACUGUUUAGACAUGAUCCCUUUUUACCUCCCUCUCUGUCUUAUCUUUAUUUGACUUUUGGAUAUUUUAUUGUUUGCAUUUGAGGACAAAUUACUUUUGUUUUGUGGUGAGGGUGAGGCCCACCUUUUGUGAUGAUUGUUUUGUGUAUAUAUAUGGGUUUUUGAGCUAUAAAUUGUGUUUAGCACUGUUUUUGUGGAUGAUUGAGCUUGUGGCUCCUUACUUUAAUUGCAAAUGACUUUUGAGGACCCUUCCAAAAAAUUUGUGCCACCUUUUGUUUGUGUUUGAAUGUGGAUGUUCUCUUGCAAUUUGAGUAUCGGUCUUGAUCAAUACCGAUGACUUGAAUAGUUCUCAUAAUAGAACAAAAAUGAAUGUGCGGCAACGGUGAGGCCAAAUGAAAUUGCAUAGGCAAUAUGUGAAAUUUUUGCAUCUCGUUGUGACUAGUCAAUUACCAAAUUGAGUCUCUUAUGAUGAACAUUGCACAGUAGCUAGAGUGUGGAGUCUUGUUUGACGUUGGUGUAAAUGUCUUGUGUGUGAUGAGCUUACCGUGAACCAUGUAUGAUGACACCUAGAAUUUGCCCCGUUAGUUCGGUUGAUUAAGUGAUGCAAUCUCUUGAGAUGAUCUUAGGCAUCUUUGAAGAGUGUGAAAUAAUUUGACAUUAUACCUCUUUUGUGGCCAACCUUGUGAGUGUGCGAUCCUUGCUUGAACACCCACUGAUCCUUAUCCUUUUCUUGGAAAGAACUUGAUGAAAUUUUGACCUUUCUUUAUCCAUUACCCAUAAUCCUCAUGAUUUGUGGUUUGUGUAAAUAGCCAACUUAGGCAAAAAGCCUAAGUUGGGGGUGUGGUGAAAAUAGAAGGUAAAUCAAGAAAUGCAAAGAAAUCCCCUUGAAUCAUGAUUUGAGAAAAAUGGAACCCCUCCAUACAAAAAAAAAAGAGAAAAAGAAAAGAAAAGAAAAAGAAUGAACAAGUUGUGAAAUAAAAUUGUGAAAGUGCAAAGAAAAUGGGGUAUCCAACAUGUCCAUGGAAAGUGAAUAAUGGAGCGACUUUUGAGCAUGAAUGAGAAUGAUGAAGGAAAAGGAAGGAAGUGUUAUUCAUACCACAUAUCAUGAGGAUAGCAGCCACUGAGCCUAAAUGACCAUACCUUUGCACUCAGCCCCGUUACAUACCUUGAAAAGACCUCUUUGAUCUUGAGUGAACUGAAACAAUUGUUGAUUGGAAAAUAUGGGCAAACCUAUGAGUGAAAUCAUGCAUUGUGUUCAUCUUUGUGAGUGUGAGCAUUGCAUUAGAUUUCGGAGCUUUAAAUUGUAAACCGUUGUGUGUGAUUAUGGAAUCGUUGUUUGUGUGAGGGCAUUAAGUACCAUUGUUAAGCUUGAACUUGCAUUUGAAGCGCGUAUUGUGAACUUGAGAAUUUUUCAUAAUGGUGAGUCACAACUUGAAUCUUUGAGUGCACAAUUGAUCCUUGCAUGAGUAAGUUGAGUCUUUUUGUGUGCAUUUAUGUUUGAGUCUUGUGUAGCACUGUUUGAGACAUCAUUUUGAACUGCUGAACUUGAGUUUUACUUGAGGACAAGCAAAAGUUUAAGUUGGGGGUGUUGAUGAGUCCACGAUUUGGACUCAUUUAAGGGUUUAUUUUAAUUAGGAUUUAGUGUCCUCAAAUGCAUAUUUUGUCUCAAUAACUGAUGUAAAUCCUUGAAUUUCAGGUAUUUGGACAUAGGGACAAAGCAUGGACACUAUUGAGCAAAAAGGAACGAGAUAGCUGAAAAAACGAAGCAAAAAAGUCUUGAGGAUCGCCUAAACCAUUGGGCGAGUCGCCAAAUGGCCUUGGUCUCACCUAAUGUUCCAGUAUGCCAGUCCCUAAAGGAGAAAAUCAAGUCGGCGAUAGAAAGGAGCAGUCGGUGAGUCGCCGAACGGUUCCACGAUGUAGUGUCAUAUCGCCCAAAGUUACAGAGCUUGAAGUGCUGAAGGCCAAAGCCAAAAGGCGGUAGGAAUGAUCAAAGGGCGAAUCGCCGAGUGGAUCGGCGAUCCCAACUUAUUGCGCCGAAUGGUCCUUCGCAACACAUUUUUUGACAACUAUAAAUACAUGUUUGAAUUUUUAGUUUAGUAUGUAAUUUUCAAUCUAUUAAUUUUAGUAUCAGUUUUUGAGUAAGAAGCUUAGAACUGAAUAGAGAGACAAUUUUUCCUUAGCUUUGAAUAUUUGAAGAUUUCCAUUUCUAAGAAAUCGGAAGUGGGUGAUGAAGAUUAUUCACCUUAGACCUUUGUAAAGACUAUAUCAAUCCUACCCAGUUGAUGGAAAUACAACUUGGUAACGAUUUUUAUCUUUUUACUAUGUCUAGCUAAAACCCCAACUUUUGGGGUGUGAUUAUGUGAUUAUGGGUUGAUUUAACUGCUGGAUAGUGUUAAUCAAUAGUUUAUUUGCUGUUUAAAAGUGAUUUCGUUCUGUAAUUGUGGUUGAAUUUAAUGGGUUGUAGUUGCAAAUACAAUCUUAAUUUCGUAUUUUUGAAUUGCUGAGAAAGAGGUUUUAAAACCAAAAUUACUGAAUCGAUGGUUUGUGGGUAUCGGGUUGUCGCGGGUUCAUCUCGAGAGAGUGAAUGGACUACAGCGAAGGUUGUGCUUCAUUAUUGCUUAUUGGUGUUCGAGAGAAACCAAUUUGAUUCGGGGUAAAUUGUUCGAGAAAAAGUUUACCUCAACUAAAGUCUAGCUUAUUCACUGAUUUGCAACUGUUUACUAUUAAUUACAAUUACUCGAUUGUUUAACUUAUCCCAUAAUCCAAUCACUUCCUAAGAAUCCCGUCUCUAUAUUCGUGUCUUUGUGUUAUUUACUAUUUUAGUUGAUAAUUGAAUACAAAACCCCCUUUUGAUAUUUGACACUUGUGUGUCACCUAUAAUUUAAACCAUGUUUUUCAUCGUAAAUGUUUUUAGCUAUGAUUGAUUAGAGCAUAUUCUUACUUGCCUAUUGAUUCUCUAUUACGAACCACUCCCUUGGGACUCGACUCCAACUCACUAGUUGGGUUAUAUUACUACUGAACGAUCGCUGAUGCUUAGUAUUAGAUGAAAUAUCUUUGAUAAUGUUCUGUCAUCGUAGACCUGUUAGGACAUUUGGUAAGGUUGACUAGUGAACAUAAUACACCAAAGAUAUUAAUUUUCCUAGGUUGAAAUGCUGCAUGUUUCUUACAACGUUUUGAUUUAGCUCUAACUUGAGUGGAUUAAGAGUGGGUUGACUAGACACAACGUUCCCGAGUAGACAACUCGAGUGAGAAGGCUACGCGGUCGCACAGAAAUAAAUUCGAAUAUGACAAAUGCCAACUCUCCUAAUUUUGGGAUUUUGAAAGAAAUUUGCGGGUGCGCAAAACACACCUCACGUGUAUGUGUGAUAGUGUGAAUUUUCCAGAAUUUGGAGAAAAUAUGAACGAAAUGACAAUUUAUAUAAAACAAUAACAAAUAAAUAAUGAAUACAAGAAAUGUCAAAUAAACAGUUUAUAUCACGUAAACAAUUCAUAUCACAUAAACACGAUAAAUAGAAUAUCAAGCAAAUAAGAUAAAACAAAUAAAUAUAUAAAACCUUAAAAACUAACAUAAGUCUAGUAUGGUUAGAACCUAAGUCCCCAGUGAAGUCGCCAAGUUGUUUUACCCCAUUUUAAUCGAAAUCAAAUUAGUGUACAAUAUAUUGGUGAUUUCUAAAUUAAUUAACUUAAGAAAUCGCCACCUAACUAUUAAAGGAUGAGUUAGGACACAUAAUUUUUUAAUUGACUUCAUUUUAAAGUCUUCUAACCAAUUAGAGAUUCUAAGAUAAGGGUUCAAUUAAUCCUAAAGGGAAGGAGUAAGGCAUCCUUUAAGAUCCGUAUUAAAACGAUGAACCGAUCAAAAUUAAAGUAAAUAAUUGAAGUUUUAAAGGUUGUGAAAGAUAUGAAUAUUUCAUAAGCAAAACAAGCUAAUAUAUAUAAUAUAAUAUAAUACAGUAUGAAGAAUAAUAUAGAUAACCAUAGAAAAUUAGCCUUAAGUUUAUUUAAAGAAAAAAUAGUAGUUAUAUUUUUAAAGAAAGGAAAUAUUUAAAAAGAUAGUGUAAAGUGUCUACUCAAUAACGUCUUUGCAUUAAAAGGGAUACCACUUUAAAAAAUCAUUUAUUUUCAAUUUGGAAGAUGUUUUCCACAAGUUUAAAUCACUUAAUUUUUUUUAUUCGAAAGAAGUUUUGUGAAAUAAGCAUGACGACUUCGUUAAGACUCAAAACAAAACAAUUUAUUUUAAGUGAAAUCAACUUAUUUUAUAUUAUUUAAAGGAUCUCAUAUCAACUAUGUGUUUCUAAGUAUCUAAGGCCAAGAAUAAAAAAAAUCCCCAAACUUGAAAUAUACCCCAAAACACAUACAUAAACAAAUAGUCACAAAGAGUUAAAUAGGAGAAAAUGACAAAAGGAAAAAUACUAAUAAUGAAGUAAGACGUCAUAGGCGUUCCCCAAGCAAUUCUUGCUUGUUUUUCUCGUUGUCGGACACGUUUAAAGAAGAUUUAAUUGGAGGAUAUUAUGCGGGUAUGGAGAGUCUUGCAUCAAGACUCCAUGUAUUGCUCCAAAGUGUUCAUGCAAAUAAAAAAGAAUAAAAAGAUUAGUAAGACAAUUUAACUUCUCAUGAUAGUAAAUAAAUAUAGUAAUGAAUAAAACUAUAUAACAAAUAUGUUAUCCCAAACACGGAAUAUACAAACACCAAAUGAAAUACUCACCGACUUACCAACAAAAUUCGAAAUAGCUAAAUUAUAAAACAUAUCUCUUACUCACCAAAACUAAUACCCAAUAUUAUUCAAUUUAAAUUAUAAAAACAGAUUACUUUCCUAAAUAAAAAUGAAAUCAAAUCAAGACAUUUUGAGAUUUACACAGGUCAAUUAUUUCAAGCUUACAAGAAAACUUAUACACAUAUAUAUGCUAACCGAAUAGAAGAAGAAGUUUUAAUACACAUUUGUGAUGAGUUUAAUUAGAGACCCAUUUAAACAUCAUAUGACUUAAACAUGGAGGUUCUAAAAAUAGACAUUAAAAAAUACAAAUAAACUUUCAACGGAAAAAAGACUCCCUGCUAUCUAAUAUACCAAAACUAAUCUCAAAUUUUGAGUGAGCCAAUAUACUAAUUUCAAAUUUUGAGUGAAAAAAUAUAAAGUAAAGUAACAAAUAUAUUUAGUGUGUGUUUAAGAAAUACUAUCUUCAAGAUCAACAUUUCAGUCAUUCCAAAGCGGUAACUCAGCAUAUACGAUAUGCAGUAAGAAUAAGAAAAAUUACAGACGAGUCUUAAGAGAAAUUAAACAUAUCUUAACAAACACAUUAGUCGAGUUUCAACAUAUUUCAACUCAACAGAGAUCUAAACUUGUUCACAUAUAUUUUUAUAUAUCAUAGCAAUACCAAAACUAUAUUAUCACUUUCAGCCCAAUGAAAUGAACAUAAUAUAUGAUUUAAUAGUUAAACACAAUGUAAGAAAACGAAAGAAAUGAACAUAAUUAUAAUCGGAGAAUUACCUUCCACGGAGCAGUGAAGAUGGAGCGUUUGAGGUUUAGAUCCACAACUCUUUUACCGAUAAUAAAACGAGAUUAUAACUUGUAUAAGUUAAGAUCUAAGAGCAAGAGAAAAAUGAAUUUUUUAGACUCCAAAAUUUGGUCCUUGCUCAAGAAACGGGGCUGUAUUUAUAUAUGAAAACAACUUUGAUUUGAGCGGGAUUUUAAGUCGUUUUGAAAUUUGAAAAGGUUGCUUCAAGUUCAUCCAAAAAUGUGGCAGAGAACCAUUGAAAAAUAUAGUGUUUCUUCACGUGACUUCGCUGGAAAAUGGUAAAGUUUUGACUAUACUUUUGAUAUAGACAAUUUUGAAGCAUGAAAAGGGGAAAAAAAGAAGAUAGAGACACGUCUAAUGUUUUCCAAGUUUGCACGAAAAUGGUGACAAAAGCUCCUACCAAUGGUGAAAAAGUUCAAAAGAUUUACUGGAAAGGGAAAAAGAGAGGAGCGACGCAUAUCAUAAAUUUAGCUUCUAAGUACGUAUAAGUUAUUUGGGAAAAGGGCUUUGGGCUGCUGUGAUAUAGUAUAAUGGGCCAUUACAAUGGGUUCUAUUUUGAGCAGAUUUAACAUUAAAAAUGGGGCUGAAAAUGAUCUAUUUUGGGGCUCAAAUUGAACAAAUUGCUAAGGCAUUUUCCUUCUCAAAUUAAUUUUUUGGGCUUCCUUAUCUUAAUAAUUUACAAAAAUAUACAUAUAUUAACACACUAAAAAAAUACGACGAUAAAAUAUUUGUAAAAGAAAUAAUAACUAACGAUAAUCGUUGUAAUUAGAACAAAUAACGAUACUAAUACUAACUAAAAUGAUAAUGAGAGAUGAGAUAAAAGUGAUAUCUAAUGCGACUAAAAUAACGAUAUCGAUGAUAAUAUUAAUAUUUUCAUAUAUAUGAAAAGUAGUACUACAAUAUAGUAAAAAUAUAACAAAAGUAGAUUAUUAAUGACUAGGAAGCGUAAAGAAAUAAAUUAGAGAAGAGGUGAGACAAAAUUAAGUGUCAACACUCACAACCACCGAACAACCCUUCUUCUCCACGCCUGAAACAACCAAAUCUCCACCUCCCUUAGCCACCAGAAACCAACCAAAACGACCCCAAAAGCGAACAACAAGACCAGCAGCUCAACAACAAACCAGAAACUCCGGUGAAAUCUCGGCAGCUCUAUAAAAACACGGACCCAGGAAACUCGCGAAAGGCAACCAUCACAAGCUACUGUUCACUUUCGUUUUGGUAACUCUAGCUCUGCCUAUUUUAUUUUUUUGUGAUCUUUUAUCUGCUGCUUGUGAAUGUUGAGUUGAUUUUAUUAUUUUGUUUGGUUUAUGACCACUGUUAUUUUCAUUUUUGUGUAUUCUAAUCAUUAUUAUUGCUUUUUCGGUAAAGUUUUUCUUCUCCUACCAGUUUAUUUGAUCUCUUGCUUUAAAUAGUUACAGUUUGGGUGUGGAUUUACCAUUUUUUAUACUAGUUUGGUUGAAAAUCUGAACAACGUAAAGUUUCUUUUGCUUUUGAUGAAGUGACUUUUAUUGCUUUCGAGUCGUAGCUUCGAUCCCAAUAUUCUUUCCCUCUGAUUUCGUCUCCCCUGUUAUUACAAUUAUUAUUUUUUGCUUUGUUGCUUGGCUUUGCCUUUGUUCUACAUUUUGGAAUAGUCUACUGACUCUUUCUUACUUUAUUUUCUACCUUAGUCAAUGACUUUCAAUUUGGUUUUACUUAUUUUAUAAGUUGUUGCUCUAUUUUGUUCAAUGUCUUAUUUACUUUUUUGAUUUCAUGCAUUACUCCAAGAAGUUUCCAGUAUGUUGUUGUUGGUUGGUUGUUAUUAUUUUUAUCAUUUUUUUAUUAUUCAAUAUAGCUGAUAGAUAAAUGUUGUUUGUUGCUGCCAAGUCAAUGUUAUUUCAAUGUUCAUCUUUUAAUUUAUUAUUAGUGUCGAACUUCAAGUAUGGUGAGUUAUCUUAUGUUGCUGUUGAAUUUUUAUUUAGAAUUGUUAUCUUGUGUAAGAGAUUUUGGUUCGGUAAUGAGUUUUCAUGUGGCUUGUUCACUGUAAUUAGCUUUUAAUUGGCACAUAUUUGCAAGGUCAUUAUUAGGAUUUUUUUUUUGUCAUUUGUUACCUUUAAUUGUUUUUGUUAACUUGAUAUUUAGCAUUGUUUGUUAAAAUUGUCUGAUGAAAUUUUCAUUGAUUUGCAAGGCCUUUAAUGUUAAUAAGACGGGUUUUUAUUAUUGAGUUAUUAUUUAAUUCAUUUAUUUUUAUUCAUAUUUAUUACUAACACUUUUACUAAGUGUCUUUACAGGUAUCUGGAGUUGCUUCCCAUUGAAGCUAUUCGUAAGGAGUUUGAAUUAUAUUUUCCAAAUUAUUAUUUUGUAUAUAUCGAUGUUAAGCAAACUUUAGGCCGAGUUUUAUUUUAUUACUUGUGUAUAUUGCAUGUUUGUUAUACUUGUAUAUUAUUUUUAUCUCAUCCUCAAUUUGAAAAAAAAAAUUCAGUCGGGACCCACAGUUGUGGAUUUCAAAGGAUGCUUAACACCUUUCCUUCGAAAUAACUUGAACCCCUUAUCUAGAAUUUAAUGGUUUCAUAAAUAUUUUUUAAUUGGUUUCCUAGUUUUUCCUAAAAUUAGGUGGCGAUUCCUUUAAAAUCCCCUUUUUCUUAAAAUUCUUUUAAAAUUGAUUUAAUUGUUUAUUUUUUUCAAGUCACUGUAACGUUUCUUCUUAUUUGAAUAAAGUAGGAAUAUAAACAGAAUGACGACUCUACUGGGGAUAUAGAGGUUCUAACCAUUAUGAGUUAAUUUUUUCAAAUUGAGGAGACUUUUCUUUUAUUAUGUUAUAUCUUGUAUCUUGUAUAUUUUGUUGAUUGUUUGUAUAUUGUAUUUGUUGUUUAUUUAUUAUUCAUUUAAUUGUAUGUAUAUUGUCAUUGCAUUCAUGGCAUUUUCCAACAUGUAUGUAUAGUAUAUUAAAGAACGUAUUUGCGAAAUCGCAACCGGACUUUUUUUAUACUUAGCCCUUUUUCGGAAUAAUCGACAAUUUAUUGGUUCAUCAUGUGUCCAAUGGCUGUCGUUAGUUCCAACCUAAGUUGUCCGCUUGAGUUCCCGGUCUUUCAAAAGCCACUCUUAGUCAACUAGUGUAGAGCGAAACCAAAUUUCGAAUUUAGCACAUUUUGAACUAAGUCGGCCCAACACCCAAAGCGUGUUGGGCCAUUAGAAGCCUACCUUGUGUCAAUUUGGCCCAUUGGUCAAUAAAGGACAAUCAUAUUUAUGUGUUUAAAUUUGAAUGAUGUAUACAACAUUUGGCAAAUCAUUGUCACUCAGGGUUGGGAGUUUAUUUUAAUAGCUUACUCUAGUCGAAGAAGGAUCUUUACAGGUUACCAUUUCAUCCAAAAGGUGUUGGCAUUCAGAGAUGACAAGAAGCUCAAGAGAAAGUAUCUUCCACAAAGGCCUAGUUUGUGAUGGUACCCAUGCGUGGGAUUGAUUAUUUGUAUCCUUUUUUCCCCUUAUUUGGUAAUCCUAUUUGAAUUAUUCAUAAAAUGUGUACUAAGUGUUUUGUUGGACAAUGGAUUGUUGUCAAAUGGCGUAAUACAUCCUUCAAUUCGAUAGGCCUACCCUUGUCACAAAAGGGUCACAUAUUUGUAUAGGACGCAAAAUAAUUGUUUAUAUGUUAUGUGAUAUAGUUGAGUUUGUCUUCAAUCAAAAUAGUGCUUGUGUGUUAAUUAAUUCUUUGUGUGAUAUUUUGCAUUAUUCAUUAUGAGCACGAACUAACAUUUUUACCUUUUGAGUUUUUCUUCUCUUUAAGCUAGAGGUUGAUUUAUGUUAGAAUUUGGAGGUCAUUGUUCGUCCGAAGUUGCAAGGGAUAGGAAGGCUCGUGAAAUUUGAGUUUUUAGAUUUCACCAGACAUUAAUAUCAAACCAAAAAUAUAAAUCAGGGGAGUCUCUGACUAUGAAGUACACUCAUUUAUUUUUUGUUAUUUUGCAUGUUGGCCAUGCUUUCACAUAUUUCUCAUAUUGUUGCAGGAAAACCUUCCCCGACAACAGUCGGGGAUGGUGAUAACAAUUUAUGAAUAAUUGGGAAAACAAACAGUUCCAUGAGACAUUCAAAAAAGAAUACAACAACAAGUAGUUACUGUAUAAAUUGGAAGGCCAUAUUCAACAAACAGUACAAAGGUCAACAGUUAGGAGUAUACAAGAAAUCACCCCGAGUUGUCUAAAUUUUGAAAUUGUUUUAUGCCAUAUAUGAACGAACUAUGCGAACUUGAUUCUCAUCUUGGUGAGAUACGUACGCUGCAACCCUUCUUGGGUUCGGUAUUUAUUCUUUCAAAUUUCAAAAAAAAAAAGUAAAAUAGUUUGUGCAAAUUUUCAAAGACAUAUUUGCGCGAACUACGCGUACUUGAUUCUCUUCUUGGUGAGAUACGUAGACAACCCUUCUUGGGUUGGGUAUUCAUUCUUUCAAGUUCCAAAAAAAAUUGUGCAUAUAUUCAAAGAUAUAUCUGCAUGAACUACACACACCUGAUUCUCAUCUCGAUGAGAUACGUAGGUAGUCCUUCUUGGGUUCGAUAUUCAUUCUUAAAAAAACAAUGUGUAUAUAUCGUAAGAGUCAUGUCUUAAACUUAGUUGGGACCAAUGCAGUUAGGAACAUGUAAAAAUAUUCGAUAUGAUGGAGAGGACUGACUUUGUGGUAAACUAUAAAGUCUUUUGGUACCUCUCAUUUAUAUUUUUGUGAUGCUUGAAAAUUCCAUUGCAUGCAUUCAAGAUAAGAAUAAAACCAACCUCGUGAUUUCAUGUGCAUUGUGUGGUGAGCUUUUAGAUCAAAAUUCAAUUGCAUCACACUGUUGAUCUAGAACUUGGCUUGAAUGUUAUCGAACAAAAUCCUGAGUAAUGCUUGAUUUGGGAAAGGAUUGUAGGUCUUCUUUGACCCAAUUGUGCCUUUCAAAACCUACCAAAUGACAUUGAUCUCUAGUUUUUCCCACUUUGAGCCUGAAACCUUUCUUUGGACAACCACAUCUUAGCCGCUACCCCUUUUGAGUGCUUACAUGCACUAUCCCUCUCUUGGCCGAACAUUCUUGAGUGCACUAAGAGUAUGCAAAUUAUAACAGAAGAUCCAUGUUUGAAGUUGUCAAAGGCAAAAUAUAUUAAGUCUCCCAAUGUCAAGGAAACAAAAAUGACUUCUAGUGAAAGAAUAAAAAAAGAAGAAGAUAAAAACACCCCUACAAAGCCAAUGAAAGACGAGAAGGAAAAUACUCCAAUAAAAGAGGAGAAAAAUUCAAAAGAAAGGGGUGAAAUAAAAGAAAAGCUCCAAGAAAUAAGGACUCAGAAGAAGUCGAAACAAAGGGAAAAAAAGGGAAAAGCUCUAAAAAAUUAGAAUUCAAAAGACGUCGAAAAAGGGGAGACAAUGAAGAGGAUCAGACGUCGAAGUUGUAUCAAGCGUCAAAAGCACAAAUUCAUUGUGACGCUCAAGAAGGAAUUAAGUCACUCUUAUCCCAAAUAUAUAUCCUACCCAUCCCUAAGCCUACAUUACAUGCCAAUGACAAGCCCUACAUGAUCUCAUUCCAAAUGUUCUCACAUUAGUGGAGAUUUACACAGGAGUCAAGCAUAUGGUAUCACAAUUGCAUGCAUUGGACAUACUUGUGAGUGUGAGUGCACUUCAAAAAAUGUCCUAAAAUAAUAUGCUUAAAAUAUGUGUGAAAUAAGACUUUUAUUGAUGAGAAGGCAAUUGAAACAUGAGGAUUGAUACACUUCAAAACCUUUGUUUGAAGCAAGAUGAACAAAUCUUGUUGAUCCUUAAGUAUGUUUGAGGUACCACUUGAAGCUGUAGGAAUUACCUUGAAUUUAAUCUUAGAUAGAAAAGAAAAAAGAAAUAAGAAGGAGAGAUUUACCUGCAAUCCUAAUUGUUGGUACUAAUUGUAGUCAAGAUCAUUUUUUGGUCAAAUCGUCGGUCAACCGCAAGUUAGCGGGCAUUCCGAGGGCCUAACACCUUCUCGAAAUGUACAUUGAACUUCGAACCCUUUUAUUUUCAAUUGAUUUUAUCUGUUUAAAUCUUUUGAAAACCUUAAGUUUUUUCUUGAUUUUUACUAAAAAAUUAAGUGGCGACUCUGUUCUUUUGAAAUUCGAUUUCUCUUAAAUCAUAAGUUUGAUCGAUUUUUCAAAAACUUAGUCAUUUUUAUUUUAUUUAUAUUUUCGAGUAAAACACUAUGUUGUGACUGCUUAUAUAUAUUGUGUUUACUGGAAUAGCCGCGUGAUCCUACCAGUACCCUGUGGUUGUGUACUAAUACUGCACUUGCUCGUUCUUUGUUGAGUACAAGAUAUCUUUAGGCGGCUAUUGAUAGACCUCAAUUAGGAGAUCAGUGAUCGAGAUCGGAUUUCAAGGGUGAGCCAGUUCUUUCAGGCUGCCAUGGAGUCCUUCAUUUUGCUUAGUCCAUUCUUUUCGGACUUAGACAUAUUUUAGUAGUUUGCUUAUGUUUGGUUGGGGUUGUACUCCUUUUCCUUAGACUUGUUGAACUUUAGAUGUUUUGGUACAAUGACUUUCAGGUUCUAGGGGUUGUUUUCCGCAAUAGCUCAUUAGUUGUUUGUUAAGAUUUUCAGAGUUUAUGGGAACUCUGUAUUAGCUAUUUAGUUAUUUAAACCUGUUUCCGUAGUUUUAAAUGUUUAGUUUUUGGUUAAGUUGCUUAGUUGGGUUAUAGUUAUGGUUCUCCUACCAGAGAGUUAGUGUGGUGUCACUCACGACGGUCUAGGUCGUGACAAAGAGCUAGAGAGAACUAAGUACUUUCAGAUCACCACAAAGUUUUUAAUACACUCCAUGAUAAUAUUAUAAAUGAGGAUACAUAAAUAAUGUUAAAAUAUGUCAAUCAAGAAGAAAGUUGAGUUAUCAGCCUUAAACUUAGGUUUGGUAAAGAGUCUAAUACUUUAACCAUAGCAGUUGUCUACUAGUUUGUUUAUGAUUAUUAAAAUUUAUAUGAGAACAUUUUCAUUCAUAUUAUCUGCUUGCUUGCAUCACUCCAAAAAAACAUAACACCAACCACAUUUAUAAAUUAAACUGUAUUGGUUUAUAUUAACAACAUACCCAGUGAAAUCCCACUAAAUAGGUCUGGCGAGGGUAGAAUGUAAGCAGACCUUACCACUACCUCGUGGAGAUAGAGAGGCUAUUUCUGAAACUAAUACAUUAUUUUCUACUUUAAAGACUUACGAGAAUAGAUCUAUGAAUGCAGGUAAUUAAAACAAAUGGUAACCAUGAUCUGAGCUAUCAACGUCUGAGUUGGUACUACCUUCAUGACUUUCUUUCUUCAUCACUUUCAUUUCUUGAACUGUACUUGUAUUACUCUUAGGACUUCUAUCUUUCAUCUUCUUAUGAUCCUCUCUUUGUUUUCUCCAUUCACUCUUCCUUUUCCAUUGUCUCACUAACAAAAUACCCAAACUUAGAAACACAGCCAUAGUUCACCCUCCUCCUAUGAUCACAACUUCAAUUAGCACCCAAUGAUCCCCUUUUCCUUGUGGCAAUAUUGACCAUAUUGCAGCUAUUUAAGCUGAUGCCAUAAAUAAUGUAGAAAUCCACAUUACUUUAUGUGUUGCCACCAUCUAUGUCUUAAUAAGGACUUGGCCCAGACGUAGACUUACGCCGUCUGAACAUUUGAAAAUAGAGACCAUCCUUUUAGUUUUACUUUCACAUUUUUAUUUUAUUUGAUUUUUAUAUUAAAAUAAUUCUUUUACUUGUUUAUUUUAAUAAGUUCAAAUAAAUUAAUUAUUUUUUAAAUCAUGAUUAUUCUUAAUAUUAAGUAACUAUAUAAUAUAAUAGUAGUUGAAUUAAAAUUUUGAAAUAUAAUUAAUAAAAACAAUUUAAUAAAAUAAGUUUAGGGAAAUAAUAUAAAAUUAAUAAAGAUCAAGUAAAAUGAAACGAAUAAAAAGAGUAUACCAUUGUUUAGCAUGAAAAUUUAAUCGGGCUUUUACCGAAAUUAUGUUACGAUAUAGUUAGACAAUUAUGAGCUAUGAGAAUAGUUAAGUAGCAAUGAUCAAAAUUGUAUAUGUAUAAAAAAAGGAAAAAUUGUACAUUAUAGCAAACUAUUAAUUCAAAAUAAAGGUUAUAACUGUAGUUUCAUUUUAUUCUAAUUUGUAGCAAAUACAUCGCCAUUCUCGCCUCUCUCCUGAAUCUCGCCGUCACUCUCAAUUCUCUCCCUCGCCAAUGUAUAAAUUGUGUUUGUGUUUGUGUAAAGUGAGAGAGUGUGUAUAUACAAAUACAAAUACAUAUCUCUCUGUCCUAUACACUUGUAAUUAUACUAAUACAAAUCUUCCCCUGCCCAAUUUUCUUUUGUCAUUCUCUCUCUCUCUCUCGUUUUAUACAAACACAAAUUAUACAAAUACAAUGUAUAAUUUGUGUUUGUAUAAAGCGAGAGAGAUAUUCGAUAUACAAAUACAAUUGUCUUAACUCAAUUCAAUUGUAUACAAAUUCAAAUUUAAUGUAGAUAUACAAACACAAUCAAUGAUACAUAUACAUAGUAGUUACAUAUAUACAAUUAUCUAACCGCUAUGCAUAUACAAUUCAUCUCUCUCCACUCUCUGCCUCUCUCCUCUUUCUCCUAAUCUCGCUAACACAAAGAACAUAUAUAUAUAUAUAUAUAAACACAAAUGCCCAAUUUAUACAAAUCGCCGGGAUUUUAUACAAAUUAGAUGUUCCAUAACAAACAUAAUAACAAAUUAUGUUUGUUAUGGAGCGCAAAUAACAAAACUAUAGCUAUAGAGCGCUAAUAUGAUUUUUAUGUUUGCUAUUCCUAAAAUUUACUGAGGAAAAAAUAUAGCAAUGAUCCAAGUUAGCAUAUAUAUAUAUAUGUUACGUACUAUUUUUUCCACUGUUUAUGUUGAUACGUUAAAAAACAAAAAAAUAAAUAUAAUUAUAGGUAACUUAUACAUGUCUUCGCUCUUAAGUUAUAGUAUUAAAUAUAAUAAGGCCAAACCCAUCAAUGCCUCCUAAAGUUGUCACCAAAUUUCACUUAGACAUCUUAACUGAGCGAUGUUCAUUUUAGACACCUCAUGUAGGGUCCCGUUGUGUCAUUUUGACACUUUUUACUGACAUGUCAAAGUGAGUGUGAUACAGUCAACAAUAGCUCGUGAAAGGCUUAUAGUGAAUUUUUUUUUAUUUUCUCUUCUUCUUCUCCAAUUUUCAAGUCACCAUCUCCCACCAUUUUUUCAAGCUUAAACUCCUUCAAUGGAGGUCGAAUUUUUGAUUCAAAUUCGUUUUUAAGUCAAUUUUUUCUUCUUCAUUGUAUUACUUUUCUAAAUUUACCAUCACUUCCCUCUACCUUUUUUGCUGGAUAAAUGAAUAGCAACACCCAUAUUUGAUAUUUGAUCUCUCCUUCUUUCUUCCUCUCCCUCUUCUCUUCCCACAAAACAUGUAACAUCCCAGAAUUUUUUUGAGCUAAGACUUGAACCAUUCUUCGUAGUGAGUGAGAUUUUUGCAAGGAAUUUAAAAUUUCUUGAGUAUUAAGGUCUCUAGAUGUAGCACCUUGAGUUCCAAGAAGAACCAAAGAGAAAAGCAUUCAAGUCAUUCCUAGUUUUUCUUAAGUUUUGGGUCAACUUCAAACGAUUAUAACUCCUAGUACAGGAUGAGUUAGGUGAGCUGCAAGAUAGAAAAUUAAAGCCCUUCGAGUCCUCUUUGCAUUGCCACCGAGUUUACUCAAUUUCGAGCUCUGAAUAAAAAGUUAUAACGGAUUUACUAACGUCGCGCAAACCUUGCAGCAGCUCCGUGACGCGGAGCCAACACGGACCUCACUGCCUGGUGAAAGAUCUUUCCGACUCCCAGCUUAUUUUAAUUAUUUCUUUAGGGGUAUUUUAGUCCUAAAAACCCUUAGGAGGUCAUCUAAAUUGCCCUAAAUGGGUAGAAAAUCAGUUUUCUUAAAUCUAAACCCUCUCAUUCACUCCAAAGAUUCUAUGCUCAAGAAAUUCAAGAAACGCUAAGACUAGGGUUCAUCUCUCAAGAUUUUCCUUCAAGUGCUGCAAGAAGAUGGUUCUUUCAAGUAUGUAAGCUUCCAUAGUGUUGGGUUUGUUCACCCACACGUCAAUCAUGUUAAUUUCAGCUUUAAAUUACGUUCUAAAAGUCGAAGCUUUGAUGUUCUUGUUAUGUAUUCAUGAAUUUUCUUUCGUUCUUGAAUUGGGCUGAGAUUGAAAAGUUCUUAAGGUUAAUGUGUCGAUUUAUAGAGUUUUUAGAGUUAGAUUAUUGUGUUCUUGUGCUGGAUAUUUAACUUUAAAGAGAGAUUGAGAAAAAGAAUCGAAGUUAGGCGAAUUGGGGUUAGGAAAAGAAAAAGAAACUUCGUUGGUCGAAAUUUGGAAUCCCCUCCACAUCGCGCAGCUACUUCUCAGAUUUGGGAAUUUCUGUUUCGCGUCGCAGAGCUGACAUAGAGUGUUUUGCCUCAAAAGUUGUUUUCGAAACCAAAAUUUAAAUGUUUCUCCGCGACGCGGAGCCACCUUCAGAUAUUGACUUUCAAUCUUUUCUCAUGUUUAGCUAUCUAAAAUCAUUUCUAAACAUCAUGAGACCUUUUCUAUCACAAAUCACAACCUUGAAUUCAUAAAUCACAUUCAUGGUAUAGUUAAGGUUAACUUUUUGAGAAUUCUUUCGAACAUUCUAAGAAAGUCCUUUAAGUCUUUUGAGGAGUCUUCUACAAAUUCUAAUAACUUGUUUCAAGACUUCAGCAAGUGAGUAUGAGAGUGAGAAUAAUGUAUUCAUGAGUCUACCUUGUCAUCAUGAGAUCUUUCUUAUCAUGAACUAUAUCUCUUGAAUUCAUAAUUCACAUUCAAGAGAGAGUUAAGAGUAGAGUUCAAAAAAGCCUUUGAGUUCAAUUGUGAAUCCUUUGAGGUCAACUAUAGAUUUGAACUAAGUUUUGAGGAAGUAAGUCAGAGUAUAAGAAGAUUUGUAUACAUGAGUUCCAUAUAGUUAUGUAGACCAUUGAGUCGAGUUGUUUCAUUCCCAUAAUUUCGCAUGAACUUCGUAAGUUGAGCAUCUUUCAGAAAAGUGGUAUCUUCAAGCUCUAAGCUAAGUGUUGAGUUCCUAAUCCCUUUUGAGAAGCAUCUUUGAGUACUUGAGUUGAAUAUUUCAUGCUCAUAAUUCUGCAUGAAUAUUAUAAGUCGAACAGUCUUGAGAUAAGAAGUACCUUUAAGUCAUUUGAGUUGAGUAGUUCAUGCUCAUAAUUUCCGUCAUGUACUUUGAGUUGAGCAUUCUUGAAAUGAGUAGUAUCAUUGAAGUUCUUGAGUUCUAAGUAUUUGAGUUCUAUCUAUGGUUAUUGAAAACCUUGCAUUGAGUCAUUCAUGCAUGCCCAUAAUUCGGCAUGAACCAUAUAUUUAAGAAGUAUUUUAUAAACGUUUUAACUUUGUUUUAAGACUUAAGUUUACUUUAGCAGUUACCUCUUUAAGAAUCCUUUUCAAGAACUUAUCACAACAUAGAGAGAGAAUUGUUACUUGAGCAUUGAAUUAGAUAUUUUUGGCGUAGUAUUGAGCACCGAUAUGGGGAUGCGAGUUCAUAUUAACUCAAGUCUCCAUAAACCAUGUAGCCAUCAUGGGUAGAAAAGGGUCAUACUUUUUAGAUGAAUCCUUUUCGCAUAGACUAGUGGAUCCACUUAGUAGUUCAGGUCCUAUACCACGACAAGGUAUAGGAUGUCCCGGGCAGCGUGUGGCUAAUAACGCUGUAUCAUCACUAUAGUUCUUAAGUGAUGGUUGUCGGUUAGAGAAACUCCCACAAUAGUAUUUGCAUGGUUCCUCAAGGGGUUUUGCUUAGUAUGAAUGGGGUGUAUGGGACUUCAUUCAUGCAUUGCACAAGUAGACUUUGAGAGGGUAGCAUGGUAUGCCUUUUAUGAUAUUAUGAUUAUGAGUUAACAUCCUGUUUUAAACAAUUUUCCUUUUCUUUAUUAUUGCACUUGUUUUAAACUACUUUAUAUUGAAAUGAGUUCAGUUAUGUUGAGUUGAGUUGAGCCAGGUAAGUUCUUCAGUUUCAUUCAGAUUCUUUUCAAGCUUAUGUUAUGCUUUAGAAUUCCCCUUACAUGCUCGUACAUUCCACGUACUGAGCCAUUUGGCCUGCAUCUUUUCAUGAUGCAGAUCCAGGUAUUCAGGAUCAUCUACAGAAGUUUCGUUGAUGUCACAUGGAGUUCAAGUUAGCUAUGGUGAGCCUCCUUUCUUCCGAAGGAUUCCAUUUACUUUCAGUUGUUAGGAGGUCGUGGGUCUUGUCCCGACUUCCAUCAGUGUCAUUUAGAGGCUUCAUAGAUAGACAGUAGAGUGUUAGAAGUCUUCAUUUAUUUUGUUAAAUGUUUUAAAGACUAAAGUUGCCUUUUUAUGGCGAGUUGUAUAUAUUUUAUUAUACAAAGUUUUCUUUGGACUUAAAGUUUGUAUUUAAGUUUUAUGAACUUUUAUUUCAGUUUUAAGCUUUUGUAUGCUUGAAUCAGUUUUCCGCUUGUAGUUAGUCGGGAUGAGGGUUCACUUGGGGACCAACAAUGGAUCUCGAGUGCCGGCCACGUCCAGGGUGUAGGCUCGGGUCGUGACAAAACAACACUAAAAAGAAAGAAAAAUAGUAAAAGAAAAGAAAAAAGCACUAAAGAGAUAUAGAGUGUGUGAAAAAAGACGAUUUCCGAUUGAUUUCACCUUUUCGCCGGAAAAAAUGGAUAUCAACACUCAUAUUUUAUACUUUUUGUUUCUUUCUCUCCUUAUCUCCCUCCUCCUCUCUCUUUCUCUCAAAACAACACUAAAAUAGAAAGAAAAAAAGAAUCUAAAAGAGUUUUAAAGAGCAAAUUAAGAAAAAAUUGUUGGGUAUAGUAGAGAAGACAACUACCAUGAGGGGAGGGGCUAAAUUGUUUUAUUUAGAAUAAUAUUUUUAUUUUAUUUACUAAAUAGAUUUUAAAAUAAUUUUUAACUUAAAAUAACACAUGUAAUCAUUUAAUUCGUUGUUUGUCUUGUCAUCAACGAGUGUAUUACACUCUCCUUCACCUUUUUUCUUAUUGUAAAAGUGUCAAAAGAAUAUAGCGGGACCCUACAUGAGGUGUCUAAAAUGAACAUCGCACAGUUGAGAUGUCUAUGUGAAACUUGAUGCCCAACUUUAGGGGCCAUCGAUGGAUUUGGCCAUAUAAUAAUAAUAUCAUCUUCAAGACAUGAUGAAUGUAUUAUCACAUCAUCCCUUGAAUACCUAAAUCGCAAUAAUAAUUGGAAAAAAAAAUUUCCACAGCCGUCAACGUCAUAUACAAAGUUAGGUGUUACGAAAUAAUAAGAAUUAAAUGUGUCCAAAAAAUCAAUUUUACGUGCUCUUUUGACAUGAUGAAAAUUAUUUUCUCAUCUCCGAUCAGUAUUUUUUUGUACUUUGAUGAAGCUAAUAUCUACUUUAAUAUGUCAACUACAUUUGUCUAUUCUAUGAAACUUGCUCCUACCGACACCAUUAAUUAGGAGUCCAAUUCCCUUUUAAUUAAUUAUGACCUCAUACUCAAAUCCAACACGCCAUUGAUAAUACACUACAACAAAAAAAGAUAGAUUUUCCUUUUAGCGAUAAUAUAUAUUGUCAUAAAAAUAUUUAGUGGUAAUUGAAUUAAUGUUAUUAUAUUCUAAGUUGCUAAAACAAUAAAUAUAUAGAAUAGUGGUUAUAAAUAUCCAUAUUAUAUUAUUGCGCUAAAAUAAUUAUUGCUAAAUCAUUUAUUUGUGUAAGUAAUAAAUAACUGAUUUUAGUCAAGAACAACUUUUAUCUAUGCUUAUUAAAUAGAGAUAAGUAAUAAUUUUCCUAGAAUAAAAGAGGGUACAAUUUAUAUAUACCUAAAUAAGCAAAUUUAGAAUCCAUCACUCAUAAAUUCAAAAUCCAAGUUAAUUACGCCUCAGAUAUAUAGAAGGUAACAAGUAUAUGGUACUUAUGAUCAAUAGCUAACC
Molecule: long non-coding RNA, 44772 nt
Filed under: Solanum tuberosum (potato)
Lineage: Eukaryota; Viridiplantae; Streptophyta; Magnoliopsida; Solanales; Solanaceae
Description: long non-coding RNA (STUB_LNC008291)
Source: RNAcentral